CUCGUGCUAUGUAAUUUACAUAAUUGUCCUUGCGAGUUUAUGCUUUGAAUCCGGUAUGGAGGGCAAUUCGGUCAUUUGGGAGAUUUACCCGCCGAUUUGUCGGCAUCUACUCGAGACGAGUAGAUUUAGGGGAUAUCUGACUGAAAGUAUUUCUUUUGAAAUAUCAAAACGGUGUCGUUUAAUUCGGUUUUGCUUGAGCUGUGUUUGAUUUGAGAACUGAGAUUGAUUUAGUUACUGUGAUUUGAUUGUGGGAAUAGUGUCGGUGAAAUUGGGGAGACUGUCAGUUGGAUCAGGCAAAGUGGGAAGGACUGGGAUUGAUGAUCUGCUGUCAUCUGCAGAUGGUGGAAAGCACGACUAUGACUGGUAAAAGUCUAAAGCUUUUUGCUUCUUGAAUUUGUAUUGUAUUUAAAUACAUGUAGUAGGUCUAUCUUCCUGACCCAUAUGGUUUUCUUAUUAGGAUUCAGAAUAGUUUCUUGCUAUAAUAUGCUGAUAUAGGAUCAAACCAGUAGGACAGGGCAAGAAAAGCAUCGCCUUAGAAUCACAUUGAAGUUGAUUGAAUGAAGAAUCAAGUAGAGAAUGUCAGAAAACUAAAGAACAUAGGUUUUAUGGACUUUUAGACUCUUAGCGCAUCUUUUACUGUCAGCAUUUCAGAAUCUCAUUUACAUCUCGGCUAAGCUGUGGUAAUGUUAUGAAGUAUUAGACUUGUGGUACCAUAAGGUUACAAGAAAAAUGUGUAAAAAUGUUUAAAAUGGGAAGUUGAAGAACAAAAGUUAUUCACAAAAAAGAUGAUAUGUGUUCUCUUGAAGACGUGUUAGAGGUAUGUAAUCUCCUUGGUGAGGAAAUUACUGUGAGAGAUACCUCAAACCAUAGUAUAAGCAUCCUUUAAUAAAUAGAUUCUAGAUUGAAUGAAGUAUGUUGAAUAUCCCUGGUUAACAGAAAACUGUGUCAUUUUAUUUCUUGAGACGCUUACCUAAAAUUCAAGGCAACAAGAAUUCGAUAGAUGUGUCUGACUUUUUUUCUUCUCUUCAACUUUCUGUCAUCAGGCUUCUCACUCCUCCAGAAACUCCACUUUUCCCUUCAUCUGAUGGAAGUGAAUCUCAACCAACCUUAGCUGCUGCAAGAGGCAGUGCUUUAAUUAGAUCAACUUCUUCGGCCAAGCCUUCAAGGGUAUGUUUUGCUGCAUUGACUUUAUCCAUGUUCCAUGUCAUAUUCCAUUUGUAGAUAUUAGAUGGACUCGAAUCACGUUCCAUUUGAAUUAGUAUUUGUCUCAUCUUAUUUCUCUGUUUCAGCUUUCAGUUUCACAAUCUGAGAGUAAUCAUUCAUCAAGACCAGCUAGAAGCAGUUCAGUUACUCGUUCUUCAAUCUCUUCAUCACAGUAUAACAACUAUUCCUCAAACAGAAAUUCCAAUUUCCUGAACACGAGCUCGGCCUCAGUUUCAUCUUACAGUAGACCAUCAUCCCCCAUUACCCGCUCUCCAUCUACAGCAAGACCUUCCACUCCAACCUCUCGUCCAUCACUAUCACGACCCUCAACUCCUUCAAGAGCUCGUUCUGUGCCGGCUAGCUCUUCCAUUGAGAGACCUCGGUCAGUGGCAAGCUCAAGACCCUCUACUCCUAGUUCUAGGCCACAGAUUCCUGCAAACUUGAGUUCACCAGCUGCUCGAACACCUUCUCGUCCAUCUACCCCCACUCGUCGGCAUUCAUUGCCUUCUUUAUCUCCAGCAUCAAGUCCUUCACCUUCAGCUGGCCGUCUUUCAAAUGGACGCAAUCCAGCACCGACAUCCAGGCCAAGUUCCCCUAGCCCACGUGUCCGUCCCCCACCACAGCCCAUUGUUCCCCAUGAUUUUCCUCUUGAUACACCGCCUAACCUCAGAACAACCUUACCAGACAGGCCAAUUUCUGCUGGAAGGUCUCGGCCUGGUGCUGCUGUAGUAGUGAAGGGAAAAUUAGAAACCCCAGCUGCCGUGGUUGUGCCAAGAAGACAGUCAUCACCCGUUGUUUCAAGGGGUAGACUUACAGAUCCCCCUGGAAGAAGCCGUGUACUUUCUAAUGGGCACCAUGAUGUUCCUGAACUUAGAAAGCCCCAACAUCUCCCUGACCUGGGCAUGCGGAAGCCUGUGAAGACUUCAUCAACUACAGCUCCAGAAAACACUGGAUUUGGGAGGAAUAUCUCGAAGAAAUCUCUCGAUAUGGCAAUCCGGCAUAUGGUAUGUAUAUUCUCUUCCUUAACAUCAUAUGAAUGAAAUUUUAGAUUGUGAUAGAAACUUUUGGGUCCGGACCAUCAAGUAAGGAGUUAUUUGAAGAGCUGGAUGAGGCUCAUUUAAGUAGUUUAUCCCUGAGAACCUACUUAUCAAUAUAUCUUAAUGUUGUCCUUUUGUCACUAUCAGCAUAUUAUAUCCACAUAAUCAUUGUUAUGUGGUCGGAGUUUAUCUAACAACUUCAUACACCAUGUGAGCACAAGAAGAGUUUGUCUAGUUUGUUAGAACUGCUUUGAUAAAUUUAUUCAACAGCUUUCUUGAGUAGUUUAUUCAUGCAGUAGAUUCUAAUGACUGAUCUUCUAUCUGAUGUAGGAUAUAAAGAAUGGAACAGGAAACAGUCGCCAACUUUCAGGCAGCACCCUCUUCCCUCAAAGCAUUCGGUCUGGCACUCCCAAGACCCAGACUGUUCGCACAUUGAGUUCAUCAGCAUCAGUGAACAUGAAUGGAGGCCUGCAAUCCAGAGGUAAUGGAUUUGUUUACGAGAAUGGAAACAACAUGAGUAAGCCUGUACAAAAUGGAACUGAAGCAAAUGGGGGUGGACGCUAUUCUUCCAAACUGACUGAUGUGGACAUCUAUGAGAGCUCUCGCUAUGAUGCAAUAUUGCUUAAAGAAGACCUGAAGAACACAAACUGGCUGCACAGUUUGGAUGAUAAAUUAGAUGAAGGACCCAUCUUUGAUAAUGGAUUUGAGCAUCUGCCUGAACCUUUCGGCCUCUUAUAACAUCUGAUUAGUAAGUGGUGUUGAUUGUUGUCCUUAGAUUAUAUGGGUUCUUUUAUAUGGAUGAAUCACUUAAAACAGGAAGCUUGUAAAAGAUAGUACUUGCCUACUGCAGUGAAAUCAAUGAAUUUAUUGUUGGUCUUCUAUAUUUACAUAGCGUAGCAGAAAUCGUUCCUCAUUGAAUUUAUUGUAGAAUUAUAUGCUUCAUUUACCUGUUUAGCAAGCUUUGAGAGGCUUUCUGGUUGCUUGAGUAACUGCCAUGACUUGAGCAGGCGUCGCUUUUAGGUUUUAGUCUUCCAUCACAGGCUACAUUUCUGUAGUUUUAUUUCAUCAGUCUAUCAUUUCUAAAACUGAUUCGGUCCACUAUGAAUCUAAUGAUCUUGUUCUGGUUAAGGAUACUCUUACAUUCCUUUCAUAGUCAAAUAGGCUGCUUACCAUCCUUUCGGAGCCUUGAGCCUUUGGGAAACCAGGAGUCUCUGAAAUGGACUAAAUAUUUAAACAAUCAGUUGAAAAGUUCAUCAUCAAAGGUCAAUUAGCAUGUCGGGCUAGAUUAGUGAAGCCAUUAGACCAGGGAAUCAGUCUGCCUAUGAAUAUCUUGAUGAUGGCAUCGUACCCAGAAUCUCAACCAAACUCUCAGGACCACCACCCUAACCAGUCCACAGUCCAUAACAUACUUGAAGAAAAGCAAGGGGGACCUCUUUGAUAUUUCUUUCUCACUCGGCAUAUUCAAAACGAUAGCAACUCCUGGAUUUGGAUGUCCUCCAUUUUUAGUCUUGCAUCAUGAGCAUGUGCUUCAACUAUUAACAUGGACAAUUCAACAUUUCAGUGAGAACUGUUUCUAUGAAUAUUCCAAGUUAUGUUUUCUGGAUUGAAAACGAGUGCUGGUUAGAAUUGUCUCUGGAAUUCAAUCCACAUCUGCCACAAGAAGUAGCUAGCUAGGUAUGUGAUUGUGUAGUUCGUCUCUUUCUGGGUAAAAUUAACUGUAUAUUCGUCACUCCUUUGUCAAUUCCAAAAGCUCUUUGUCCAUAUGUAAAUAGGGUAGUGCGUUCUACAUAUUCAUAUCUAUAUUUGGGCGUAAUGUGAACUUCGUGCUAUAAAGAAACAACUAACAUAAUUCUCGUAGAAAACAUUAUGAACUAUAGCUUACCUCUCAAAGCAAAUCUAUGAAUCUAUAGAUUGUAUUUGGUAAAAGUUUAGGGCGAUUGACACAUGUGGCAAUACUAUGAAUCUGUCACUAACUUCUCCUAUAGCUCUAUCUCUUUCUGAGGAAAAUUGUAUUGAAAGGGUUGUUUUAGGAGUGACAUAAGAGUUAACUCACGACCUAUUACCAAAUAAUCAAUCACUUAACCACCUCUUGUGUCAUUGAAUGUUAAUGGUUCAUUAGUGCAUAGUAAAUCUUAUUCGACCUACCUAAGCAACCCUCUAAUUCAUUUCUUACUUGAAUACAUAUAGAUGAUAACGACUCACGUAAUGAACACACUUUGGCUUUGCCAAAUUACAGCCAUUGGCUUUUACCAAAGGAAACUACCAUUUACUUUUCCUUCUGUGCCAAAUCUAGUGUGUAAUUCACCCUCUUCUGCUUUCAAUGCACAUUUGUUGGUUUAUGAAGAACAUGUUUCUGAAUAGCAAUGGAAAUAAUGGUAUGCUAGAGCCUAGAGGUGUUGGACCAUUUGCUCGCCCAUGCAUCCAUUAAUUCUUGGCUAAUAUUAUGCUCCCUUUAGAAUUUGGAAGUAACACCACGUGAUUUUAGUCAAAAACUAAGUUUUCAUUUUGUUUUCAUGAGUACUACGAUACCAUAUCGGGUGGUUUCUAAAAGUAAAUACUAAAUCAUACAUAUUUUUUAUAAUUUUUUACCGUUGGUUCGUGGAUUCUAAAUCAGAGGCAUAGUAUUAGUAAUGCUUCAAAGUUUUAACAACUUAAGAGUACAUUGUCAAAUUGGUAAGCUAAAUGUGACUAUCUUUAGUGUAAUUUCAUCAUUUAACUCAUGUUUUUUUAUUUCAUCACUUGAACUUCAAAUAAGCAAAUUACAUUUAACUACAAAUGUAGACAGAUCCGUUCCAUUCAAUCCAUUGAAUUCUUGGGUGACACAAUAAUAGAGUUAUGGAAUUAAAACUUGUUAAUCUAGGAGACGUUGGUAAUUAAAUUCCCCCCAACGGUAAAAUCCAAGCGAAGCGUUUAGCAAUAACCACAUAGCGAAAGCCAAGGUAAAACUCCCCAAAGGAUAAAAGUGAAAACCAAAGUCAGCAAAUAAAUACGGCUUGAUUUUGCAGAGCCCGGUAUAACUUCAACCUCAAGCUCUAAACCUGUAAAGAGUGAGAGAGAGACAUUGUCACAUUGCAGCGGAGGUCGAGUCAUCAUCAUCAUCAUCAUCAUCAUCGAGAUCUGCGUGUAAAAACAAAUAGGCUCCGUUAGCUUCACGGUGAAGCUUAAAACAAUUAAUACCCAACAGUAGACCAGUAAGUAACUAGUUCAACUCUCUCUGUCUCUCUCCGUAUCUCUCUCUGUCUCUCUGAGUAGAAGUAGUUGUUGUUCUGGUGCUUUCGAAUCUUCUUCUUCUUCUUCUACCUUAUUAGCUAGCUACCCUUUUUGUUUUUGUUUUUCUUUUAUGUUUGUUCGUAGGUGCGUGAUUGUGAAGAAAUGCCGUUAGAGCUCACCUACGAGCAUUAAACACACACUCACUCACUCUCUGUCAUUUGCUCUGCUCAGAACGCUCCAGCAUUUCGAGUCCUGAUUCGGCGCCGUAGCCCUCUCUUAUAGUUCCUUCUGUGCUGUCAGUCUCAAAUUUCAGGUCUUUAUUAGGUACAUUUUUGUUAUUCCGAUUUUUCGAGUUUUGGUGGUGAAUUUUGAUUUGCAUUGUGUCUGUUCAAGCAUGGGAUUUUGAAAUUCUGUAGACCUGCAAGUUUCUAUUGUGGAAAAUUGUGAGCUUUGUUCAUGAAAAUUUUAGAGAUUUAUUUCACAGCUUCUUAUAGAUUUGCUCUAGCUUGCUUCCUCAAUUAUAGGCUUACAAUGCUAUUUCUUCAUUUCCUGUUUUUGUUUGUAAGUCAACGAAUGGGAGCAAUUGUUUGAAUAUAAGAUUAGAAAUGAGGAUUUGUUAAUUUUGGUAAAUGGAAUUGUUAAGUUCAGGAUAGUUAAAGAGAUGGCUUUAGAUCUAAGCACUUAUAUUUUAUCUUUCUUUGCAUGUGAAUAAUUUUGAUUGUGUUUUUUUGGGUAAUGGAUGAUGAGCAAGGUAGUGGACUCAUCUGGGCCAUUAAGGAUGAAAUUAAGAAAGCUGAGAAAGGGAAUUCUUUCAGCAUUUUGAAUGGCAUGGCUUUAAAGCCUUUUGCUUUCUCUUUAGUGGCAAAGAACUUUGCUUUUGCCUUUUCUUUAAUUCUUUAGUAUGUUUCUUUCUGAUGAUUUGGGUUUCUAUUCCAGAUAAGAUUAGGUUAAAUACUUUCUUGAUACUUCUCAACUACUGAACUUAAUUUUUGGCAGUAUCUUUUGAUGCCUUCCUGGUGUCAAUGUUGUAUUGUCUUCUCCCAUAGGAUCCUAGAAAAAAGAGGAAUUGAUCUUUAGGGACAUUUGAAGAGACUUCUUCUAGUUAGGGAGUACACUAUCUAUUUGUUAGUUUCAUAGGUUACUUUCAGUGAACAAGCUAGUGAGCAUAUAUGCAAUUGAGUUCUCCAUUCUCUCUAUAUAUAUAUUUAGCCCCCUUUGCUCACUAGUUGUAAACUGCAAAAAUGACCAAGAACAAUAUUCUUAUUCAUAUGUUAUUUUGCAGGGCAAGUGAGGCUUCUGAUAUGAGUCUCAUAGUCUGAGUCCUUAGCUGAUCUAUCAACAAAAGAUACUAGAUGAAGCCAUAUUUAGUUUGUGCAACUGUUCUUUUUCUGUCAUUCCUUUGCCACUCUAUAGCUGAUCUCAGUUCGGACAAACAAGCCCUUCUUGACUUCAUUUCAGUUGUUCCUCAUGGCCGAAAAGUUAACUGGGAUUCUACUACGCCAGUCUGCAAUACUUGGGUUGGCAUCACCUGUACCUUGAAUGGCACACGUGUGCUUGCUGUUCGACUCCCUGGUGUUGGUCUCUAUGGUCAAAUUCCAUCAAACACUCUUGGCAAGCUGGAUGCUCUCAUGGUCCUUAGCCUUCGCUCUAACCUCCUUAGUGGGAGUCUUCCAUCUGAUAUUUUCUCCCUUCCAUCCUUACGCUACAUAUACCUUCACAACAACAAUCUUACAGGUAGUAUUCCCUCUUCUCUGCCUCCCAACCUCACCGUACUAGAUUUGUCUUCCAACUCUCUCACUGGCAGCAUUCCAGCCACUAUCCAAAAUUUAACGCAUCUCAACGGGCUGAACCUUCAAAACAAUUACCUCAGUGGACCUGUUCCUGACAUAAACAUUCCAAAGCUGAAGUCUUUGAAUUUAAGCUACAACCACCUUAAUGGUUCAAUUCCUCCUCCCCUUGAAAGGUUCCCCACUUCUUCCUUUGAAGGAAACUUGAUGUUAUGUGGGGCGCCACUAAAACAGUGUGCUUCAGUCACUCCAUCACCUUCUCCAUCCCCCAACCGUCAACCACCAGGCUCAAUAGUCCCAUCCGAACCAGAGAAAGGAUCUAAGAUGAAACUAAGUGUCGGGGCUAUCAUUGCCAUUGCAUGUGGUGGUUUUGCAGUGUUGUUUCUCUCAGUUCUAAUAGUGGUGCUGUGCUGUUUGAAGAGGAAAAACAGCAAAGGCGGUGCUAUAGUUAAAACAAAAGGUGGAAGGAGUGAGCCGCCAAAGGAGGACUUUGGAAGUGGGGUGCAAGAGGCUGAGAAGAACAAACUGGUUUUCUUUGAAGGCAGUUCUUAUAAUUUUGAUCUUGAGGAUUUACUAAGAGCUUCGGCUGAAGUGCUUGGAAAGGGGAGUUAUGGGACUACUUACAAGGCCAUCCUAGAGGAGGGGACAACAGUGGUUGUAAAAAGAAUGAAAGAAGUGGUUGUGGGGAAAAGGGAAUUUGAACAGCUAAUGGAGAAUGCCGGGAAAAUUAGUCGGCACUCAAAUGUUGUGCCCCUUCGUGCUUAUUACUACUCCAAAGAUGAAAAGCUCCUGGUUUAUGACUACAUUGCAGCUGGUAGCUUUGCUGCAUUAUUGCAUGGUAUGCUCCAUUUCAUCAUAUUCUUUCUCUUUUCACUUCAUGAAUUUUGCUUUUAGCAUGCAGACAUAAUAAGGAUGCUUUAGUAUAAAAACUAAAAAGUAUAGGAAUUCUUGUAAGUAGGUAUUUAGGAAGUUUUUUACUUUUCGUGGUGCUUGUUACUGUAACAAAUAUAUGCAAAGUAGUCUCGGAUAUGAUAUAUUCUUUCUUUACAGGACACAGGGAAAGUGGACAUAAUGGACCGGAUUGGGAAACCAGACUUAAGAUUGCCCUUGGAAGUGCAAAAGGCCUUGCUCAUAUCCACUCGUCUGGUGGAGGGAAAUUCAUCCAUGGAAACAUCAAGUCCUCCAACAUCCUUAUCACACAAGACCUUAAUGGUUGUAUCUCAGACUUUGGCUUAACACCUCUCAUGAACUUUGCAACUAUACCUUCCAGAAGUGUAGGCUAUCGAGCUCCUGAGGUGAUUGAAGCUCGAAAAUCAUUCCAAAAGUCCGACGUUUAUAGUUUUGGUGUGCUGCUCCUGGAGAUGCUCACAGGCAAAGCACCAGUGCAGUCACCAGGGCGUGAUGAUGUUGUGGAUCUUCCGAGGUGGGUACAGUCUGUUGUUCGAGAGGAAUGGACAGCAGAGGUGUUUGAUGUAGAGCUAAUGAGAUUCCAAAAUAUUGAAGAAGAGUUGGUACAGAUGCUUCAAAUAGCAAUGGCAUGUGUGCAAAAUGUACCAGACUUGAGGCCUACUAUGGAGGAAGUUGUUAAGAUGAUCGAGGAUAUCAGGCCACCGGAUUCUGAGAACCGGCCAUCAUCAGACGAUAACAAGUCCAAGAGCUCAAAUACUCAGACUCCAUGAUUCUCGCAUCAAUAUUCUGAAACUUCUUUCCCUAGAAGCUCCAGCCUGCAUGAGCCAAGCAAUUCAUGAAUCCUUUUCUAACUGUCAUAUAUGCCGCAUUUGUGAUUCUUUGUAGAGCCCUACUGUAAAGGUUCAUAGCGUCUGUUUUUCUUUUUCUAGUGUGAAUUCGUGAUUAGCAUGACAGAGAAGUUUUUAAACAAUUAUGAAGUUUUCAAACAAUUAUGACUCUGAAUCGAUUGAGGUUCAUCCUUCAGCAUUCACAAGAUGUAAACAUGAUUGUAAUUUGUCGGUUACGAAGAAUAGUGUCAUGGUACCUAAAUUGGCAAACCAAAACAUCUGAAAACAUCCAAGCUAAAAACGUUCACAAGCUGAGAAAGAUGGACAUCAAAUAUAAAAUUCGAGUCUUUCCUUUUGUUUCUUCAAUAUUACAUUUUCCAAUAGUUUAACAAUGUAAUGGGGCAGUAUAAAAGGCCCGCCUUGAUCUCUGAAAGAAGUAUUUCAUUCUUUCAACAAAAUAUGGGUUAUGCCCAUGUUGAAAGCUACACGCUAGAGUUAAUACUAACUUUUGCUAAUCAAGUCAGCACCACUGACAUAUCUAGCAACAAAUGACACUAACCGGAAAGGUGCACCAAUAAGGGGAGCAUCUGUAAUUGAGACAGCUUCGUUUGUAACCUCUGUAGCAGACUGCAACUCUAGAUCCUGGACUUCAGAGGCGUCCAAAGGAAUUUGCAUGAUUUCACUUUCCCUGGACUCAUACGAUAUGGGUGAAUUUGGAACUAAUUCAGGAUGCUGAAUAUCCAAAUUACCAUUACUUUGCAAUAAAGCAGCCUGCUGAGAAUCCAUGUUACCGUAACUAGGUGUCUCCACUUUAUGCGGAACAACUUCUGAGGAAUAAAGCUUCUGGCCUGAUGUAGACAUAUCCUCACUGGAUCUGGGCAUGGGAUUGAUGAUAAUGGCAGUUUCACCAGGUAAGACUGCUGUACUUAAAGGAAGCCCACCUUUUGCACUAUGCCGCUCAAGUUCAACAUAUAACUCGUUCAUCUACAAAACAUAAUAGUGCAUAAAAUAACAAAGGCUUAUAAUCUGAUCACUCAAAGGCUCAACAUACAACACAAUUGCAUGAAAGAUAUGUUUGCCUCCAGUUAUAGAAGUAGUACACUUUACUCCGGUAGAAAUUAUGGAGGGGAAGCUUUUCACCUUUUCAACAAGGUCUGCAUUCUCUGUAAUUAAUUUCUCAACCAGUGCACAUGCUGCUUCAAUUUGAGAGUUCAGCUCUUCACGUUCUGCAGCGUGCUGCAUUCAACAGAGAGAAAUAACUAAGACCCAUUUUUCUUCUACUUUCCUUGAUAGUAAAUUGGUAAGAGAUCAACAAAAGAAAGAAACCUUCAGCAGAAACAAUUAAAAAUUAUAUUACUUGUGCCAAAACUGAAACAUAUGUUACUCAUUAUUAUUGAAUAAAUUUUUUUGUACAUACAGUCCUUUGGAAGACACGUCAAAACAGUAUUCCUCAUUGUUCAUAAAAGACAACAAUUAAUUUGGCCAUGUGGUAAGCAAAAAGAAGCUCACCUUUGCACCUUCAACUGAUGCGCGACUAGAGGAAACACUCUCACGAUCCUUAAUUUGCAACUCUAGACUAGAUAAAUUUCCCAUCAGCUGUUGGUUUUCUUGUACAAGAUUAUCCCUGGAUUGCUCCAAUUCCAACACCUGCCAUGCUUUGGUUUUAUUUUCCAUAUCAGAAAAAACAAAGACGUUCUGUGCACUGCUUGUGACAGAUACGGAGGACAGACAGACUCGACACAAACUUAUGUUACAGCAUAUAAGAGAAGCAAAGCAAUACACGAAUUCCUCUCAACUCAAUAAAGUAGGUAGCAUGUAAAAAUCUGGUACAAAAAAAUUAAUUAAAAGUGACCAAUAGUAAAUUAUUUGGAUCAUUCAAGCCACAUACCUGUGCUCGUAGUUUAGCAAUGUUAUCUGUCUGAGUUGCGAUCAUUUCUUUGAAUGAAUCCUGCAAGAAAUAAAUAAAAAGAAGUCUCUGAAACAAAAUGUAUAGAACAUUUACAUAUAAAAUUUAUGUAUCAAAUCAAUAAUGUUAUUCCCAUGCAUUCACCAAUCAUCAUUACAUACGAAGGUAGAAGUCGCAAAAUGUGAUCACAAAUGUGUGUGAGAGCUUUUCAAAAAUCCAAUCUACUACCAUGGUUUAUUAUCAAAUUAGUUGUUUCUUUUACAAGAACAGGGACACAAUUUCUAGUACUUUUCAGGUGUUGAUAAGAAAAAAAAAUAACAUAUGGAAAAAGUUUAUGGCUCAACUGAACUCAGUUUUCAACUACAAUAUACAGUGAACACCAAACAAAAAGAAAAUUCAUAGUAAUUACCUCCUUUAGAUUCCAGUUAUCUCUAUCACUCUGUAGAUGUUUAAUCUUUUCCUGUAAGCUUGCCUGUGCAACAAUAUAUAGUAAGUUUGGCAAAAGCAAAAUAGGAAUGAAGGGCAUCAAGGGAGGCCAGACUAACAAUAGUCUAUGGGAUUAAACAAUAAAAAGGGGGAAUAGUAGAGAGGAUAACCUCUUCAGAAUCCAAAGUGGACUUUUUGUCUACUAAUCGCCUAAUUUUCUCCUCCAACCCAACCUGCACAUAACACACCUUAGCACCAAGUCCACUAGUUUGCGAUUUUGUUCAGUACAAGGUUGCACAAAAAUCUAAAGCAACCAUGAUUAGAUGCAUGCUUGUGAAGAAACUAAUGGUGUCCAAAAUCCACAAUAGCCUUUAUGACCCAACUCAUAUUACCUCCUUUUUGAGCCAGGAAUCUUUUUCACUCCGUAAUUGUACAAUUUCCUUCUGUAGGAUGUUCUGCAGGUGAUCCAAAUAAAUAAAGUAAUCUGUAAUAUAUAUGAAGAAGUACAGGUUUGCAAUAUAAGAUAUAUAGGGUGCAACUGUUAGCUUAUCAUCUUGACUAUACUAUUACCUCUAGAUGAAUAUGUGAAUCAGUUUCCUCCUGUAAUUGUUUGAUAGUAUCUUCUAACGUAACCUGAAGAAGACAUACAUAAAACCAAUACAAAAUGUCACACAUAGAAUGCACACCUGAAAAAGUUGAAUGACACUGUCUCACUCAGGCAUUUGAAUGCGACCAUAAAAUAUAGUACCUCUUUCUGCAUAUGUGCAUCUUUCUCAUCCUGUAAUAGUUUUAUAGUACCUUCUAACGUAGCCUAAAGAAGAUAUACACAUUUCAAUUCAAAACAUCCGAAAAGGCAAGCAAAUAGACACUGAAUAUUCAAGUAUCUCAAAGUUGGAAGCAAAACAAGUACCUCUUUCUGUAUAAGUGAAUCCCUUUGUUUCUGUAAUUCCUUAAUAGUACCCUCUAACGUAGCCUGAAUAACAAAGCAACACCACAAAGUUCAGUAACAUGUUUACUAAUCUCGUACAAUUCUCGGAGUUGAAAAUUACAAUAAUUUACCUCCUUCUGCAUCUGCAAGUCUUUUUCUUUUUCUAAUUGCUUGAUCAUUUCUUCUAGCUUAGCCUACAAAAGAACAUGAUUACUUUUCGCCGAUUAAAACCUGAAACAAACACAAUUGAUUAAGCUAAUGCCCAGACUUACCUCUUUUUGAAGCCAAUCCUUAUUCUCAGAUUCAGCUAAUAACGACUGCACAACCAAAACAAAUUUAACCACAAAAAAAAAAAAAAAAAAAAAUCAAAUAUUUGAAUAUCACAAAAUGCAUGCAGAAAAAUCCAUCCUGUUCAAUCUAGCUCACAAUCGAUCCAAUUCAAACUCAAAUUCUAUAACUAAAUUCAUAAACGAUUUCAAAUCCUAACUUACACGUUCGGUGCCAUUGGUUUCAGCAUUAUCGGCGGGCUUUGGAAAUUGACCGUUGCCGGAAACCUGAACACCGUUGGAGAUAGUAUCUGCAGCGGCGGCGGCGGACGAUGAAACCUGGCCGUUCUCCGCGACGGAAGCAUCGUCGGCGGCGGCCUUUUGGUUCUUCUUCUUCUUGUUGUUCCUCUUCUUCUUCUUCUUAUCCUCCGCCUCCAUUUUUUUUUCAACGGCCUCUGAAAUCCGUCAGCCUCUUUCGCCGCCGCCACAGAAGAAUGAGAAGCCUGCUCGUUCGUUCGGACAGAUCCAAUAUCCGAAUCGUUUCGCUCCGAAUUUAAUCUCUGCGUUUCAGGAAAAGCCGGGAAGGAAAAGGACCCUGGAUCCGAAGCACACGACGUCGUUUUUUUGUGGUGACGUGGUGAUUGGUGGGGAGAGUGUGCUGGAGAGGGAGCAGGGGAUCAUGGCCCUUUUUGGGGGUUGGACAGUUAAAGAAAGUGACGGAAGCGAGUUACUGCGUGACGGAGAGAGGGAGUUACCUGUUGCGGAAAGGGUACGCUGUUAGGUUGACUGGGUGGGACCGACAGGGCAUGUGACCGGGGAACGGGGUCCGUUGAAAAUGGGAGAGCAUGAAUGCAUGAUAUGCGCCGCUGGAAUUUGAGGGCUCUACAGCCUCUCUACCGGUGGAUAUAUGAUUUUAUUCUACAAAAACAAUGGUGAUAAAUAUCUUGUUUUGAUUUACCAAAUUUCUUGAUCAGGCGUGAGAUAUACAAGAUUACAAGUAACAUUUUCAACAUCACUUUGUAUUUUCGUUGCUUAAACAUUUGGGUCCAUAUAUUUUUUUAAUUAUCGGUUUAGAGUUUUAUUUUGUUGAGUCUACAAUUACGGGUUUAAUUAGGUCACAAAUAGUUUAGAUUUGAAUUUUUAUUUCGACCAAAUUAAUAAGUAUUUAUUUAUAUCGUGACUUUCAACCUAACUACAUUUCUUAGAUAUACAUUCUCCACACUCACGUAUUUUAUAUGUUAAAAUUAGCUUACUAUGUUUUGACCAAGUCCAAAACAUUACUUAAUUUUUGAAAACCAUUAUAGUUUGACCAAAUUAUUUGAUGAAAGUACAUAUACUUUGCAAACAAAUAGAUUUAAACAAUCGUGACAAUACCAAACAAAAAAUCGUAUUUCUUAUGAAUAACUUAUCUAGUGGGUCGUCUCAUCUAGCUCAUUUUUGUCCAAAUCAGAUCAGAUGCUACUAUGAACUUUGAAUUUUCACACUUUUUUUUUUUUGGAGAAAUUUUCACACAAAAUUUGACGCAGCCGUCAUAAAUAAUACAAAUCAGGAAAAAUAACGGAUAAGAAAGCAUCAACGGGGUGACGAUGGCACGGUGAAAACGCUUCUGGUCUCACGAUAAAAGGCGCAAAGCCUCGGUGGCUCAAAGUCUCCGAGUUUUGGGUGAGAAAAAAUCAGGGGGGUCUCUUCAAAUUUUGGUGAUAGCGGAAAAGCCUUGGGAGGCGGCUUCGUGGAUCUACUCGAUUCCCGGCUUCCCUUUGCUUCCCGCUAUUCCCGUCCGAUCUCUGGUACUUUCUUCCAGCUCAACCUUUUAUCUUUUAUCUUUUUCUUCUUUUCAUCGGAAAUUGUGCUUGGGAUGUUCAUGAUCAUGAUUAUGACUUUUGAUCUGGAUUGGUUGGUGUGUGAUUAUAGCUUUGCAGGUCUCUGGUGUUGUUCGGGAGUUUUGUAAAAUAGUAAUAAGUUGAGUUUCUGUCAUCAUGGCGUCCAAGCGCAUCUUGAAGGAGCUUAAGGAUUUGCAGAAGGAUCCUCCCACUUCCUGCAGCGCCGGUACGCCUCAAAGAUUUGUUAUUUAGUUUCGGUUUCUUUGAUCUUGUAUGUAUAAAGGAUCGGAAUUUAUCGGUGUUGAUCGUGUACCUAUUGAGCUCAAUUUGGUAGUGUAGAUGUUGGAUUGUGGUUUUUCGAUAUGUUAGGUAGCUAGAUGGAUGUUUAGAGUAAAUUUUUGGUGGAUUUGUAAUAGGUCCUGUGGCUGAGGACAUGUUUCAUUGGCAAGCGACGAUUAUGGGACCCCCUGAUAGCCCAUAUGCAGGAGGUGUAUUCCUUGUGACCAUUCAUUUCCCUCCUGAUUAUCCUUUUAAACCGCCUAAGGUGACUUGUCGAAUCUGCAAGCUUUGAUUUUUUGUGUGUGUCUGUGUGUUUAUGCUUUUCUUUGGAAUGAAGGAUGACAGUUUUUCGAUUUUCAGGUUGCAUUUAGGACUAAGGUCUUCCACCCGAAUAUCAAUAGCAAUGGAAGCAUUUGUCUUGAUAUCCUUAAAGAACAGUGGAGUCCAGCCCUUACUAUCUCUAAGGUUCGGCUUUGUUAUCUUUUCAAUCUCCCAAUGAAUUGGUCCUGACUAUCGAUAAUGUUUGCGUUCGUAUAUACUUUAGAAAUGAUAUGUAUAUGCUGCCUUGAUGCAUCAAAAUAUUAUUUGGAGAAUAGAGAGAGGGAUAUGUUUAAAUUAUUACGGAGGUCUUCCCAGAGAAGUUCUUUGUGGAACAACACAACUCAGAAGACUAUGUGUUCCAACUUGAAGUAGGGAAUUCCUAUGUAAUGAUGGAGAUGCUUGCUUGUACUUUGAAAAAUCAUGUUUUUGGAUUCUAACUUCUUUGGCAUAUAUUCAGAGUAGAAGCAGGUAGCUGUGAUGUGCAGCCUUUCUGCAAUUUGUUGUGCCAAAGUUUUGUUUUGAAGCUAGGAAAGAGUUUUAGCAAAUAUAUACUUAUUCAAUUUCCAUCUGCCUUUAUGUUUUGAGUCAUUCUUCCUAAAAAGACUUUAUAUGUAGUUAAAAAAAUAUUUGCAUAAGAUCUAAUUCAUGGCAUUUCCAGUUCUUACUCUGGAUAUUAGCCACUACAUUUGUGAUAUGACUUGAUAUGUUAUAAAGGAAAUUUGAUGUUGAUUUAGAAACUGAUUCCCCUAAGCUUUUGAGUUUUGGAAUCUAUUUCAACUUUAAAGGGGGGAUAUUUGGUGGCUAAGGAAAUGAAGAUUGUUUUUAUUUUUAUUUUUUAUUUUUAGUAUACUGAAAUUUAUCUUACUGUUGGAUCUGUAUUCACUAAGCUGUUUGUGCAUUUGAAAUCAGGUAUUGCUCUCAAUCUGCUCAUUGCUGACUGACCCAAAUCCUGAUGACCCCCUUGUACCGGAGAUCGCCCACAUGUAUAAAACUGAUCGAGCCAAGUAUGAGUCGACUGCACGUAGCUGGACUCAGAAGUAUGCAAUGGGGUGAUGAUGUCUUCUCCGGGUUUAGAAUUUGUACUUUUUGGGGACAGGGUUAAGAGUUUAAUCUGUGGGAUGAAGGAGAUCUUCGUUCUUCCUAUGUUUUGUUAUAUUACCAAAGAUAUGAAUGUGAUUUAUUUCCGGUAUCGCCAGAACUUGAUGUUCCUUCCAGCUUGGACAGUAAUCUAUCAAUUGUGGUUUGUUUACUCUUGAUCCCCCAUCCACUAAAGAGUUAUUGUUGUUUAACCAUUUCGUUUAGUUCUUACUUCUAAAACAGAACGAAAUGCAGUGCUUUGUUCUUCAACUGUUCAAGUAAACUGUCCAUGCAAUGUAGUCUAGAAAUACAAAUUGCAUGUCUCACGACCGCAAUAAAUAAAGAGAAAAGUGUGAUAGUUAUACAAGACCAUAAUAAAGAGUCACCAUAAUAGAACCCGAUAGCCAUCACACCAAACACUAGCACACGAGUGAAGCGACUAGCCGGUCUGGCUCGACCAGGGUGGUCUCGGUUCAACUGCUGAAAUCGCAAGACUUCUAUUUCAGAAGACGAUAUUCUUCGCAUAAUGUGGUUUUCAGACAACCUGAAGUCUUCCACUCCCCCUUCAACCAAUUGGCCGUAACUAUUUAGACUUCCAGUACUCGUGUCAACUCUAUCCAAAUUGCCAUAAUCUUUCAGAGAUAUCAAGCUCUUGGUAUAACUACAGAUCCUACUAACACUUCCACUCCCAAAUGCUACAACUUUCAUCGAACGACGCUUCAGGUCCAAGAAAAAGAUGUUACGGUUCCCCUGCAGAUGCUUGAAAAAUAUGCCAUGCUCCCAUUCACCACAGAUGAUAUCAUUCGACAAAAAAUUCAAACGCAGUCCAGCUAUUUCAAUACUUAGGGUGUAAUCUCUUGUCCAUAAUCUCUUAUCGUAGUCUUUCUGCACCCACAUCUCAAUAUUCAUAGUCACAUCAGUUGAUGAACAAGUAUCCACUGUGGCCAGAGAUCCUCUUAGAGUAACUAAAUGCAAGUUAGAUAACAAGUGUGAGUGUUCCCAUUUUCGUAACCUGGGAUGCGGAGACGAAUGGAACUCUUCUUUCUUGAAGUCGAAAGAAACUAUAUGGCAUGUUCUUUGAUCCAUAUCUAUUGCCAUCCAGUGCAUAUCUCCAUAAGCAGACACUUCAAAGAGUGUAAGUCAUAAUAAGGAGGAACUGAGGGUAUAUCUCGCCAUGAAGAGGUGCCCAAUUCGAAAACAUGUGUGACCAAAACUUGCUCUCCAAAACUACUCUUAUAAUCGGAACUACCAUUAGAAAUUCUGGAAACACGAACAAUUUUAUAGGUACCAGCUAAACUAUCAAAUCCCAUACCAUAGCAAUCACCCCAAAAUACAACCUUUCUAUCUCGGAUGUCACGGGGUGGAAGCCUCAGAAUUUCUCCACGGAGAGGAUUUAAAGGUCCUAGAGGGAGGGAGGGGGGGGGGGGAUAGGCCUUUUUGAAAUUUUCGUUGCCUUCUGUAUCCGAGGAUAGCAAUGACUUGUGCUAUCCCAGAAUCACAGGAUACGAGUUUGCAGAAAGUAAAUUGCAGCAAAUAAAGAAACAACACAAGGAUGUUUUUUAAUCGCAGAAACCCUGAAUGCAGGGAGAAAAACUGCGUGUCUCUAACUCUUGAGAGACAAAAACUUCCACUAAGUUGAAGUAACUUCUUACAAGAAUAAUAGUUCUAGUGAUACACUACCACAGUGCUAUCCUUCCUAGUCCCGAACUAGUCUAGACCUAUUCCCUCUCUUGUUUCUAAGUUAUUACAACAUGGGACACUUUUCGAAGCCUUGUUCGUGAAUUCAGCUAACCACUAGCAGAUUCAACCUUGAACGCUUCUUGGGUUGGUUGCACUACACAUCCCUCAUGGUAUGCAACAUGAUAUGAGUUGAUGAAAGAAGUUUUGAGUUCAAGCUCUAAGGUUUACAGUCACGAAGAAGACUUAGAGCAGCAUGAACAAUGCAAGACUAAAAACUAGACUCAAACAAAAGAAAACGCAAUAAGGCUAGUUUUCAACAACCAUUGAGCAAAGCCAAAGCUAUAGAUAUAUAUAUAUAUAUAGGCAGACAAGGCAUCAAGGAUGAUGCAAGCUGACCUCAACAUGUUUCAGGAAGGUUUGGACAGAAGUGUUUGGCUCCCAUACUGAAAGUGAUGUGUCCAAACACAGAGAUGACACAAGCAAUCUUAAUAAGACAAAUAACCCUUUCCUAAAACAUGAAUGAUUCAAACAGGGAGCAAAGAGGUUUCAAACCCUCUUACUCAGUCCAUUAGUGGACCUUGACACAGCUGAUAGCAACUGGUAUUUGAACCAUACAGGGACCAGCUUAUACAUCGGAUAACGUAUCAUGAAAUCCCAGCUGGAGCCUUGAGCAUCAAACCAUUUGGUCACGGGUUGGCAUAACAAAAGAUCUCAACCCUUUGACUGGUUUGAGCGCUAAGGCACUUCCCACAAACUCAGUUGUCCAUUUUAUAUUAAACUAAUAUAACAGACUUUGAACCUCAGGACAGCAGAAGACUCAGUACUAGGAUAGCAAGCGAAGCUGCUAACCUCUGUGAAAAACAAUGAUAUGCAGAUGCAUGUUUUACCUGAAACCAUAAGGGAUAUUAGCGCCACUUGUUCUUGAUCAGAUAACAUUAUCUCAAAGUGUUUUGCAGGAUGAAAGGAUUGCCAACUAUCCUUAUACCUUCAGGAUUAACUAAGAAGCAAUGUCCAUAAUACGUAUCUUGUAAAUGUACAUUUCUAAAGCAAAACAAGUUGUAGAAAACGAAGUCUACCUUGUAUUGGUGAUGAUCAUACUGUUCUGAUGUAAACAAGGUAAGUGCAUGUUUUUCUUUUGUCAAGGUUGUCUCGCCAUCAUACUUGAGAGAUUGCAAAGCUGCUAAUUCCUCGUAACCUUGAGGAUCUUUAAAUGUUGGAGGGUUGAAAAAUCUGGUAAAAUACAUAAGUUGAGGCACAUUAUGAGUAGAGGCCACCAGCGACCGGGUGUGCAGCGCAACGAAGGAGUGGCUGUCAACCAUGUCUAACAUUGCCUUGGACACACAUCGGAUGCAGCAGAGUGAUUCAAUUGGCAAUCUCACGAGGAUGUGCACCAAGACAUCCAAAGGUAAGUGUUUGAUAUCCACAUUCAUCACCAUAGGCUUCGCGCUGUUGUUAAUGCAGCAGCAGUCUCAUUGUCAUCUCAAUAUUCCCUAAUGAAUAGAACGUUGCAAUAACAACUCAAAAAUACAGCAAAGGAUUGAAAAAAAAAAUACUGAUUGAAAGUUUCUUCCAAACCAAAAUCUAUGAUCCCCUUCUUUUCGGUUCAAACCCUAAUUUCUUAAUUUGUAACCAAAUAUUUAUCCUUGUACUUCAGAUUCAUAACCAUUCAGUUCUUUUUGAGAAAUCCGCCGGAACUAGGAGACCAUAUUGCAUUACGAUUACCAAAUAAAAUCAGAAUGAAACAAAGUUCGAUACCGCAAUUGAAAUAGGGACAAGUUUUGACUAUUUCAUGAACAAAUCGAAAACUUGGGAUAUUUAUUUUAGUUUCAUACCUUUUCAAAUGAAAUGAUGAGAAUCUCGCCGUUGUCCGCGGCACUCCGAUAUCGUGGUGUUACUAUUCUUCUUUUCCUUGGUUCUCUUGUUGGAUUAUUGGAGUGGAGUGUGGGUACUGGAAACCGAUCGAUAAAAAAUAACUGAAACCCUAAUAUAAAUGUAACAAGUGUGUGUGGAGUGUGGAUGCUGAUGAUGAUGUAGGGUGUGAAAAACAAAAUGACGCGGCAGAGAGGAUUUUAUUUAUUUAUUUAUUAUUAUUAUUAUUUUUUAUUUUAUUUUUUUAACUGAGAAACAUACAACUGAGCAUAAUGAAGAUCUGAAAUAGAAUUUCAAAAACAUCUGAAAUUGUUCCCUAAAAAAGAUGUCCUGCUCCCCAUUUGCUUUCUACCAACGUUUAACCUGCUUGACAUUUGUAAACUGACUAAACUCACAGUCUACCAUGAUAUCAUUGGUGUAGCUUACCCCCAUUUCCUUUCCCUCGAUCGGUACCAUACACUUAUCAAACUAGUCAUACAGAAGACAAGCAAAGAUAUCAUUCCCUCCAAACAUUGAUACACAGGUAACACAGCAAAUUAAACAUUGAUACACAGGUAGCACAACAAGCCAGAAACUUGGCAACUUUGGCCAAUAAAAACAGACAAAAAGAAAAAAUUUCCCAAACACAAAGAAUCUAAAUUCAAAGAAAAAAACUAUCAAUCUCACAAUCAAAGAAGAGGAUGAAGUGAACAUGAUCAUUUACAUUAUUUAUUUUAUUUACAAUGCCUUUAUUUCAUUCUCCUGUGAGAGGAUUGUCGAGGAGGUGGUAUUAUUAUUGAAAAUGUGGAUUCAAGAUUACUCAUUUGAAUUUCAAUGUCUUCAGGUGUUCUCUAACUAGUCUAAUCAUGUCUAUAACAUAACAAGCUGAAGAUUCAAAACAAACAUCCUGACUCUAUCUUCAAUAAAGACCCAGAGGCGUGAAAACCGGCACACCCACCCACUAUUUGCUCUUAAACUUCUCUGGAAUCAGCAGUUUUCCUCUUCAACUAGUAUAGAUGAAAGAUUGAGGUUUGAACAAAACUUGGCACGGCCCAUAAGAAUCUGAUUAGCAUGCUUCCGCUUCUCGUUAUUGUGAGCAGUACCAGAUUAGAAAAAUACCAGAUUUCUGGAUGUAUAGCAGCCAGGGUUGUAAAAGUCUGCGGUCCCCGUCAUCAUCUUCAAUGGCCGUCAUCUUCACAAUGACGGCUCUUCUAGUUCCGACUACUUAACGUAACUUGCAAUCCUAACCUAAUAUGGAUUAUAAUCCCAGCUGUACAAUAACGCAAUUCCUUUGAAAAAAACAGAGUAUUUGUUCUUGCAAUAAGACAUGUAAAGAGCUAGUAAUUGCUGGAGACGGAGUUGGGGGCAGAAAGACUUUAAUAACCGGAAGAUCAGAUUGUGGGAAUAGAAGUGUUGGAAAUUUGAAAUGGGAAAUGGAAAGGACUGCAUGAUAAAAUUUGUAGACUUGACGAUUUAAGGAUGUUUAAGAUUUUUCUAAGCAAAAUUGAGUUUUCUUUUCAUCCUGGACUUCUGGUCUGGUAAAGCUGCCAUGCAUGGCUAAUAGUAAAACAAGGUGGAGAUUAUAUAGCAGAAGAUUACACCAAAUCCUGGUAGUUGGCACAACUCAAGUGGACAGUCAACAAGUGCAGGGAUCUGAGAGUCUGAGUGGUCAAAACUGCUAAACUGCAUGAAAUUUGUGCUUGUUUUAUUUGAUGUCCUAGCUUUGUUACAAAAAUCAGACUGACAAUUUGUUACGUACAAGAUAAUAGUAUCCAAAACAUACAAUGGUACACUUUUGACUACAUAUAAUUUUCAAAGUCGUAUCAAGAGAAAUGUACAAAAACAUAUCUGAAACAAAUUAACAAGAAUCAAAAGAAUGUAAUCGAAAAAUAAUACAAAAAAUUAGAAGCCUAGAUUGAUCUGAUAGGGCUACUGCUCUUUCAAGCCAAACGGAAUCCGGGAGGGCUUGUCGUUGCACCCGGCCAAUAAGCCCAGCCGAUCAAGCUGCUCAGACCUCCGCUCAGCCAAGCCAAAGUUACGUACUUUCCGACGGUGUCUGCGAUGCGUUCGAUACGGGGUUCCGAUAACGGCGUGCCGUUGUCCCUAACGAACUCGUCGUUGACGGGAAGGGGUCUGUCGGGGACGGUGUAUUUGCCGACGGGGAGGCCCAUGUCGGCGCGGUGUCGAAGAGAUGACGUGACGGAUCCAGAGCGGUUGACGACGCCGUUUCUGCCCUUGAUUUUGGAAGCCAUGAUGCUCAGUCUUGCUGCCAUUUACGAUCAAGCGAAGAGCCGAAGAUGAUUAUUGAUCGAGUUUGAGUCGAACCAAAUGGUGUAUAAGGAUAAUAUGUGAGGUAACUUUCUAAGUUUUAGUAGAAUUGAAUGGAAGUCUUAUAUAAGCUGUAACCAUGACUAGAAAUCAAAUUCAGUGUAGAACUAGGAAAUAGUAAUCCUAUAGGAAACAAGUUCUUAUUGAAACAAGAAACCUAAUCCUACAACGUACAUUUAGGAAAAUAAACCUAAGAAUGGUAGGAAAGUGAUGCUAAAAACGACUUAUGCUUACGUGACUCGUUAGUCAACAAGUAAGGGGAUUUGGUUGGUCAACAACUACUCAAAUCUGCCAAAAUUGCAGGAAAUCUCUGCACUUCCAAGAUUUGAUGCUUUUUAGAUGAAGACGAGCCAUAAGCCCGUAUAUUUCUGCACAAUCUGCAUCAAAAUAUCAAUAACCAUUGGUUUGCCUUGACCGAAGCCUCGAAAGGGUUAAUGAAGAACUUAGCAGUGUAGCUUUAAUAUCUCAACUCAAGCUAGAGGUUCUGUUCAAAACUUCAAAUAAGCUUCAUUUUAUGUCUUCAGUAAAUUAUAGUAUGGUAUAUAUAUGCAUCUAAUAAGUUGUUAACUGUUUGACAAAUUUGUUGUUUACAAGUGAAGGUAAGAUUUGUAACGCAGGACUGCAGGCAUGUUUAUUCUUAAAGCAGGUUAGACGGUUACACCACAGACUCCACAGGUAUUCAAGUUUCUGACUAUGACAGAUGAAGAACCAUUUUAUGGUCGUGCAUGUCAGCAUGAGUAAUCAAUAAAUCAAACUCGUAUAAUAACUUUACAGGAAUAUUGAUGCAUGCCUUGAUGAAGAUUAGAACCACACAUAUUCAAAUAACUACAUGUACAAUCAAAUUACAAGUACUAUUGCUUACUUUGAAUCCUAGUUUUCCAACGUCAAAGCCCCUAACCUCAAACUGUUGGUGAACUUGAUAUUUUCAAUUUUAGUCCAAGCGGUUGUGGAUUUGAGUGCACUAAAAAGAAAGUAAAACCACAGAGUAGUUUCUAUUAUAGCCAAUUUCAGAAUUGCUAGCUAUAUCAUUCUUAACUAUGAUAAUCAUCUUCGUUGACAUUCUCCUGAUUGUCUCUCCAUGCAUCAUCUUUAGCAGCUUUGAAGGUGAUAAUUCGCUUCCCCAUAAGUUGGCAUGGUGGACGGGACUUGGGGACUGGAAAGUCAUCUGAGGUCUGAGGAUAGGGAUUCCAGAAACGUUUGUACGACUGGCUAUGCAUAUGUAGAGAACGUCACUGAGUUUCGGGAAGAGGGCGUUGCAAGUUCUUCGUGAGGUGUAGAGAUGCAGAACCAAUUGAAACCCCAGGAUCAGGCAUGUAGAGUUGCUCGUAACUUGAUAUCCUAGCUUAAUAAUGUAGAGUUUUUCAUGACGUUUUUGAAACGUCGUUGAAAGGAUCAGGAAACCACAACUCCAGUAAAGACGGCUCAUUAAAGUCCUAUAUAUCAUGACGUUUUUGGAACGUCAUUGAAAGUUUUUGUGUAGUAGCGAUCGCAGUACAAGAUGGUAUGAAACUUUGCAAACAUGGUACUGGCUAUGGCGGUUCUAUACAAAGCAAGUUAAACUGUUAAAGGGUGUGAUGGCCGGAGAUGGAUAGUUAAUUUGAAGGCGCAAAAAGAAUGUUUAACCGAAUGAUCAGACUGUGAGAAUAGGAGUAUUGAGAUUGGAAAUGGAAAAGUGAAGGUGGAGAUUACACGACGAUAAGAGAAGGGACUUUGAAAUUUCAAGCAAAAGUUGGUUUACGUUUAAGUUUGUGUUUCUGAUAUGGUGCCAUGGGAAAGAGAAGAACAGGUGCAGAUAUUGUAAACGGUUUUACAGAAAGCUUAACGUGGCGAAAUCCUAGUGGCUGGUCAAUGAUCAGAACUGCAAACCGGAGUUGUACUGUGAGUCAAAGCUGCAACACUGCAGGAUAAGAUUCCCCAGGAUUUGAUGCCUAGCUCUUAGCUAGGGUUUUGGGGAACUUAUAAUUGCCCUUUUUCUUUUUCUUUGAAUUAUGUUUGGUGUCUGGUGAACUUAUCGGUGUAGCUACUAAUCCAAAUAGUUGUUCAAUUGAUCGAUUAGCUCAGUUGUAAACAAGUUUCAAUUCCCCUUCUUUACCGGAUACAUUAUUCUAGCUACUACAAGAUGGUUUCUAUUCAAAAACAUGGUUUCUCUUUUUUUUAUUUUUUAUUUUUAUUUUUUAUUUUUUUUAUGAACCAAAGAGAAAUUGAUCGUAAUGUAAAGGAACUUAUGGAGGUAAAGAAAUAAGGAAUUGUUUAUGUCUGUGGGAUAAAGUGCUACAAAUUCUUAGCACAUACUGAAAAAGGGGAUAUGGAAAGAAAUGAACAUGCUUAAGCCACCAGGUUAUGUGGUUCCGAGUUGUAUAUGGAAGAUCAUGUUAUUAAGGCCUUGAGCUUUUAGAGUUGCCUGAAAAAUGCGAAACUAAUUAGUUCAAGACCAAAAUGGACGGCUGCAAUACAAUAGUUGUAGAUUGUAUGCAAUCACACCUGCGUUUCACCAGAUCGGACAGGCCAAAGUAUACAGCCUUCAAAUAUGAAUCUCUAUCCUUUUAUAUAAACAGAACGUUCAAAUCCAGAUAUUGAUAACACUUGAUGAAUACACAAAGGGAAAGAAAUGCACAGUAGCAACAACCAAAUGCUAGGAGAGAAAAUGCAACAGUGUUACAUAGAUGAACAUGUAAAAGAUUUUGCCAAACUUAAAUGUGUUAAGCUUAAAAACUUUUGAUCCAGCAGAGCUAGCAUAUAUAGUACAUUGUUCUGGAAGUUGUAAAAUAUUAUCUUGCAAAUGUUGUAUGGGAGAGUACACUCCCGCUCUAUAGCAAGUUGUUGGUGCCGAUUUUAGCACCAAUGGGUCAACGAGAGUUUCAUUGGAUUCCAACGUGUAAAGUGGUGGGGUUGUUCUCUUGUAGUGGACAUAUCUUCUCCUUCGGUUGGUUUGACCAUAUGCGUGGUCCUGGUCGUCUAUCUCCAGUGGUCUCAUUUCAAACUUCCUUAGCCUAAUGUUGAGCUUUCACGCUCCACAUACUUGAUGGGUUCACUUCAUCAACUCCUUUGGUUGACUUUCUCCACUCAUUUGGUGAACUUCCUUCGGCUGAUGUUGUGCCUUCACGCUCCACUUGAUGGUGGGCUUCAUCGUCGACUCUUUUGGUGGACUUCCUCCACUCCUUUGGUGGAUUCCCUCCACUCCUUUGGUGAACUUUCUUCGGCUGAUGUUGGGCUUUCACGCAUGUACCACUUCGUGGUAGACUUCCUCUCCUUGAAGAUGAGCUAGCUCCCUCCACUUCAUUGGUGAACUUCCUCCACUCCUUUGGUGGACUUCAUUAGGCUGAUGUUGAGCCUUCAUGCUCCACUUCGUAGUGGGCUUCAUCCACUUCUUUGGUGGGCUUCAUCCACUCCUUUGGUAGACUUUCUUCAGUUGAUGUUGAGCCUUCACGUACCACUUCGUGGUGGGAUUCCUUUCUUUGAAUGUAAGCUAGCUUCCUCCACUUCAUUGGUGGACUUCCUCCACUCCUUUGGUGGACUUCAUUCUGUUGAUGUUGAGCCUUCAUGCUCUACUUCAUGGUGGGCUUCAUCCAUUCCUUUCAUGGACUUCCUUCAAUUGAUAUUGAGCCUUCAAGCUCCAUGGGAAUUUCGUGGACUUCCUUCAAUUGAUAUUGAGCCUGCAAGCUCCAUGGGAAUGACCUGCAAAUAUGAAGCAAUAGAUGGUUAUCAGAGGACCAGCCUAAGGCUGGUCAAACACUCUCCAACGCCUAAGUCAUUGAAGUGUUUGAACAUUAAGUAGAGAUUGGAGAAGAAUGAAAUGUGCUCAAGCAACAUGAUAGUGUGAAAGAAUGUGAAGAUCGAGAUGAUCCUAGCAAUAGAGUAAGAACUAUGUAUUUUGGCAUGGGGCGAUGGACUCCUAGCACGCCAACAGAGAGAGAGAGAGAGAGAGAGAGAGAGAGAGAGAGAGAGAGAGAGAGAGAGAGAGAGAGAGAGAGAGAGAGAGAGAGAGAGAGAGAGAGAGAGAGAGAGAGAGAGAGAGAGAGAGAGAGAGAGAGACGAGAGUGAGAGAGAGAGAGAGAGAGAGAGAGAGAGAGAGAGAGAGAGAGAGAGAUUGUGUAGGCAUAAUUGGGAAAGAAGAGAGAAAAAAUGAAGUUUCUCCUUCAACCUUGAAAGGGUAGUAUUUAUAGAAGGAGAGAUUGGUAAGGUGGAAAAAGAGGUAUGGGCAAGGGAUGAGUAUGACAAACUGACACUCCAAGGGAUGGUCGAUCUGACAAAGUAGGUAACUGACCCCAUGUGAUCUGAUAGAGUUGGUGAAAGGUUAGGACACGUGUCGCGCGCAUGUACGACACAUUCUUCCUUGAAUCACUCUUAGACAUGCUUAGGAGACAUGCCUGGUGACGACUACUAGACGUCUUAGAAAGAGCUUGAGGGUUGAGGCUCUUAGGUCUUAGAGGUCAAACUCGUGGCCUUGGAAGUUUAGGCUCAUGGUUAAGUCAUGAUAUGUUAUAAUCUUAUCAUGCUGAGUAAAAGGUGAGGUAACCACUUGGUGAUAAUGUUGGUGAGCCGUGGCGUGGUUGGUUAAGGUGGUUAACUAAUAACUUUGACGUCAUGGGUUCAAACCUCAUUGAUAUAUGUAGGGUGUGUGAAUUAUUUAAUAAAAAGUUUAUAAAAAAAAACCACUUGGUGAUAGUCCAAGUUACUUGGUGACAUGCCAAGACGCUUGGUGAUAGUCCAAGAAAGACUUUGAAUGCUAAGUCAGACAUCUCACUAUUAUUUACGUGUGAGGAUCAUCUCUGUUUCUCGAAUAAAGAUUUGAGUGUGUUGAAAGGUUAGUUUCCUACGUGGCUCUUUGACAUUUUAACGUUUCCUACGCGGAAUGGGUUGAAAAUCAAGUUUUGUUGUCGAACCAAAUUAUUUCUUUGACAUUUCAACGCUUCAUACGCGGAAUGAGUUGAAAAGUCAAGUUUUGUUGUCGAACCAAAUUAUGACAUCAACACAAGUAAAUUGUGCAAUUGAAUUGUCGUCACUAAAUCUUAUAGGACAACUACAGAAGAAAGAAAGAAUGAAGAGAAUCUCCUUUAAGAAUAUAAAUACGACACAUCAUAUAUCCACUCCUAGGAAGAACUUCCAUCUGGUAUAUAUCAAAGACUUUCAGUGACAUUUUACAAACAAGGUUGUUUUCGCAACUACAUUUUCUCUAGCUAAAAUGCACGAAUAUACCAUAUGUAAAAAAUUGAGUACAUCAGAACAUAAGCUUAAAAGUUAAAACUUUAAGACAUACACAUUUGAGAAAUAUUGGACACAAAAAAUUAAAGAUCUUCAAGUAGCAAAAUCAAUUUAAUGUUAGUGAUGUUACACAUGUACAAAGGGAAAUCAACGACUAAAUAGAGUGGAUAUGCCUUACAUGUAAAAGUGACCUAGAUGUAGUGGCUCACCUGCUUCUCAAGUCUUCAAGGAAUGUUGGUAGUCACAUUCGGUUUGUAACAAGUCCCGAACUUAUAAUGAAUAUCAUUCGGAGUAAUUAUAAUUAUUACCUACUUGUUCGAUAUUUUAGUGAAAACUAAAAAGAACUCAAAAACAAUCUAAAUUCAAUAUUUAAGGGAAGACACAUGUAUGUGAAUUAUAACAAAUACCCCAAACUUGAAUUUUGGUUGUCUUCAAGAAAACUAACACCAAACCAAACCGACACAACAAUAUAAACAACACUACCUAAUCCUUCCAACAAGAUUCUUAAAGAACCACCAUAGUUAUACGACAUUAAAAUCAAGCUAGGUCUCAAAAUUUCAUGGAUUAUUGAUCAAAUGUUUGUGUUUUGAGAUGUGUACAAUGCAUCUACUAUGUCAUAUCAAUCUACCAAAAUCGAGAAUGUAUGUCAAGCCAUGUUAACCAUAAACUCACACGAUGUAGUCCUAAAAUUCUUCUGCGUUCUUUAUAUUUUUUGAUUUGUUCUUUCAAUUUCAAUAAUCCUUGAUUCCUAUCAUGGUAUUAGAGCCCAUGGUAUCUGAUCUGGUGCCUUGUGGCUUCUGUUUAUCUUCUUCCGCUUUCGCACUUUCGAUUUCUUCGAUUUAGUUUUUCCCAAAUUGAAAACCCUAGCCUAUAUUGAGCUUAGAUCAGAAAUUGAUCGUCACCGCCUAGCCGUCGGUCUUUUCUGGCCUCUCCGGUGUGACGCUCUAUGGAUCGGUUCGGCGUUCAUGUUCUCGAUGCAUCGUUGGUCUCUGCUUCUCUCUAAAAUUUGAAUAUAUUAUUUGAGUUUCUGUCACUGUGCGUAUGAGCUUCUGUGACGUCAUGGGGAUGUAGAGCAUAUGGAUUGGGUAUAUUGCAUAUAUCUUGUAUAUGGAUUAGAAGUGUCACUGAAACUCAGUUGUUGAGUAAGCAAAGUUAGAAUACCGUAGCCAACAAUGUCACCCAACUGGCCAGUAAGUUCAUUACAGCUCACCUGGUGAGUAAGCAAACUAAGAAUCUCAUAGCCGUCAAGGUUAUUGCAGUUCAAUUGGAAGACAAUCAUCCCGUGGUUCCAGACAUUAUUCACACUGUUGGUGCCCAAUUUGAACUAACAUUGCCACCUCUCACUGAAAAAGACCCUUGGAAAUGGCUCAAGCUGAUGAUGAUGGUUGUUCUUCUGUCAAUCAUUUUCCUGGUGGCGAAGUGCAUCUGGGGAUGGAUCCGUAGGCUUCUUAAUUAGAUAGUUUAUUGGUUCUUUGGUUUGCAACCAGUAGGAGCAGCAGGAGAAGCAGACAAUGUCCUCAUGCCUAGAUGGAAGUACUACAUCAAGGGGAUCUACAGCAUCCAAGGUCAAGGUGUCUGGAUGGAAGAACUUAUGCUGUAUAAGUGAGGCAAAUACCACAUCAGAGCAACCAGCAACAGACAAUGGCUUAUGGAACAAGGUCAUAAGAGUGUUUAAGAAUAACAAAACCAUUACAGUUUAGCAAUGAUACCAUGCAAAUUUUUUCUCCUCCAAAUGCAGAUAGCCUUAUGGAAUUGUCGAGGGAGUUCUCGUCCAGGUUUUCUAAGUCAAGGCCCUUUUUAACAGAACUUCUCUUGCUAUGGAUAUGUUUUGAUUUUUGGACACUAGAUUAGAUGAUUCUAGUGCUUUGUUUUUAACAGAACUUCUUUUGCUAUGGGUGUGUUUUGAUUUUUGGACACUAGAUUAGAUGAUUCUAGUGCUUUGUUCUAGGUUUCCUUUUAAAGGUCCUAGAGGGGGUGAAUAGGCAUUUUUUGAAUUUUCGUGGACUUAUGUAUCCGAGGAUAGCAAUGAUUUAUGUUAUCCCAGAUCCACAGGAUCCGAAUUUGCAGAAAGUAAAUUACAGCAAAUAAAGAAACAACACAAGGAUGUUUUUUACUCGCAGAAACCCUGAAUGCAGGGAGAAAAACUGCGUGUCUCUAACUCUUGAGAGACAAAACUUUCCAUUAAGUUGAAGUAACUUCUUACAAGAAUAAUAGUUCUAGUGAUACACUACCACAGUGCUAUCAUUCCUAGUCCCGAACUAGUCUAGACCUAUUCCCUCUCUUGUUUCUAAGCUCUAACAACAUGGAAUACUUUCAGAAGCCUUGUUCGUGAAUUCAGCUAACCACUAGCAGAUUCAACCUUGAACGCUUCUUGGGUUGGUUGCACUACACAUCCCUCAUGGUAUGCAACAUGAUAUGAGUUGAUGAAAGAAGUUUUGAGUUCAAGCUCUAAGGUUUACAUUCACGAAGAAGACUUAGAGCAACAUGAACAAUGCAAGCUUAAAACUAGACUCAACAAAGAAAACGCAAUAAGACAGUUUUCAACAACCAUUGAGCAAAGCCAAAGCUAUAGAUAUAUAUAGGCAGACAAGGCAUCAAAGAUGAUGCAAGCUAACCUCAAUAUGUUUUCAGAAAGGUUUGGACAUAAGUAUUUGGUUCCCAUACUGAAAGUGAUGUAACCAAAUGGAGAGUUGACACAAGCAACCUCAAUAAGACAAAGAUACCUUUCCUAAAACAUGAACGAUUCAAAACAAGGAGCAAAGAGGUUUCAAACCCUCUUACUCAGUCCAUUAGUGGACCUUGACACAGCCGAUAACGACUGGUCUUUGAAUCACACAGGGACUAGCUUUGUAUUGGAUAAUGUAUCAUAAAAUCCAAGUUGGAGCCUUGAGCAUCAAACCAUUUGGUCACGGGUUGGCAUAACAAAAGAUCUCAACCCUUAGGCUGGUUUGAGCGCCAAGGUGCUUCCCACCAACACAGUUGUCCAUUUGAAUUUGAAAAUCAACAAAGACCUAAUUAACUAAUAUAAUAGGUUAUUUGAAAAUCAGAACAGCAAAAGACUCAGUACAAUGAUAGCAAGCGAAGCUGCUAACCUUUGUGAAAAACAGUGAUAUGCAGAUGCAUGUUUUACUUGAAACUAUAAGGGAUGUUAGUAACACUUGUUCUUGUUCAGAUGCCAAUAUCUCAAGGUGUUUUGCAGGAUAAAGGACUGCCAACUAUCCUUAUAUAUACCUUCACCUUUUGUAAGUCUUUUGUGGUUGCUUCUAAUGGACAAUAUGGUGGUUUAUGUUUGCUUUAGAAUGAAUCUUCUUUUGCUUAAAAAAAAAAAAUAAAAAAAUAAAAAAACUCACAAGAUACUUACUCUAUUUUUUACAUUAGUGCUUAUGGGUUAACUACACUGCACUUCAAUCAUAUCUCCACUUAUCAAACAAAGACACAUUUUGAAUAAAAAAAAUUACUUUUAUUGGAUAUAAUGAGGCUUAGGGUAAGGGUUAAAGCAAUGAAAUGGCAUGGAAUGAAAUAAAAAAAUUUCAAACAACUUAAUACGCAAGACGAACUUAAGAUCUAAAGAUGCCAAUGAUUUUCAAAUUUUUAAACCACUCCCCCAAACUUCAAAGAAAACUAAAAUUGAAUUUCAAAUUUUUUUUUUUGAAGAUUGAUCUUUUUCCUGUCUCAUAUUUUUGUGCUCUCAGCAACUCCAAGAGAUGACCUUUGGAUGAAAGAGAUUUUUUUUUUCUUAACUUUUUUUUCUUCUCCUUUAUUCUUUUUGUAUUUUUCUCUUACAACUAUAAAGAAGACUAUGAAAUUGAAAUUGCAAUGAAGCAGUGAAAUUACACUCCUACACUUAUUCUUUUUCGAGUACCAUUAAACUUAUUUAUUUAGCAUUAUGACAUCAACAAUCUCGUGUUGCUAAUUAAGAAGUACACCCCUACGUACUUAUUCUUUUUCGAGUACCCACCAAACUUAUUUCUUUAGCAACAUGACAUCAACAAUCUAGUGUUGCUCAACAAUAUCAGAGUAAUUGUAAUUAUUAACUAGUUAAAUAUUUUAGGGAGAGCUAAAAUGAACUAAAAAACAAGCUAAAUUCAAUAUUUAGAGAAGACACAUAUAUGUAAAUUAUGGUAUAAAAAUACCUUAAACUUGAACUUUGUUUGUCUUCAAACAAACUAACAUCAAACCAAACUGACACAACAAUAUAAACAACAUUACUUAAUCUUUCUAACAAGAUUCUCAAAAAACCACCAUAAAUUAAAGCAUUGAAAUCAAGCUAAGUCUCAAAAUUUCAUGGAUCAUCAAAUAAAAACUUUACAAAAAAACAAAGCUUCAUAUCCCCAAACUUAAAUAUAACAUUGUUCACAAUGUUACAAUGGGGCUCUUAAAUGAUCAUCAAUGGAAAAUUUAAGCAUGGAUAAAGUAAAACUAAACAACACAACUAUGAAAACAAAUAACACAAAACACAGAAUGUGGCUCGGGAUGUAGUUUGAUAUAGAGAUGACAUAGUUAAUUUAAUACGGUUAAACAAAUGUGUUGAUAGUCUAAAGCCUUAGAAACGUCAGGAGGGGGGGGGGGGGGGGUUUGCAAAAAACCUUAAUAAUGUGUUAGGGGGUGAUGAUGAUGUUCCCGAUGAGUUUUGACUGAAGAUUACGUUUACUUGUCGAUUUCUUUUGAUCCUUGAAUGCGGAGAGUCAUUGGCAAUGAACCAAAUGUUGUUUCAAUGGGGACUAAGACGUCUGUCAGUGAAACCAUAACAGGAGAAGGGGGAAAUGAGUUGAGAAUCUACCACAAAUUCGGCCAUAGGAAUAAUAAGACAACCAAUCAAAACAAGUGGUAUUUGAAUUUGUGUUACAGGGUAAAUCAAAAUUGGGCGGUAGUGAGAUUCUACGAAGAUAGCAGAGGUUUUGAUUAUACACCCCCCGCAGUGCCGGUCGUUCAGCCUCUCCAAAUUCAACAUAGCGAGCAAUUUGUAACUCAUACUGUUUUGCAGGCCCGGGCAAAUAACAACCUACCUUGAUUGGAAUGAUUUGAUAGAUGUAAUCGAAAAUCUUUAUUUUUCAAGAAAAUUAUGGAUUUGUAAUUUGAGACUUUGUCAAGAAUAUUGGAUGAUAUAUGUAAUUUGGAUGAUCCAAGUAUUAGAUGGUUUUCAUAAUCCUAUUAAGCCAUCUAACCUUAAGUUUUGGAACUAGUAGAAAAAAAAAGGCUUAAGCGACGGGUACUUUCAUAUUUCGUCGCUUAAACAGUUCCUAAACAAUGAAAAACGAUUAUCAUUGCUCAAAAUACAUUUUCGGUUGCUACAAUUUUCUGGGGCGACAAAAUGUUUUUGUCGCCUAAACUUCGUCGCCAUAGGUCCUACUAAGGCAACAACAAGGAUUUUGUCAUAAAUUAUUUAUGUAGCGACGAAAAUGUUAACACUUAAGCUGCGAAAAAGUUUGUCGCAUGAUAUCCUUAACCUAACUGACAAAUUUAUGUUUCGUCGCUUCACUUUUGAGCGAUAAAAAUGUUUGUCGCAUGAUAUCCUUCACCUAACUGAUAAAUUGACUUUUCGUCGUCUUAGGUUAACACUAAAGCGACGAAACGUUUGACUUUAUAGCGACGAAAUUGUUUGUCGCAUGAUAUCCUUCAACUAACCGACGAAUUGACUUUCAUCGUCGUAGGUUAAGACUAAAGCGAUGGAACUUUAAGUUUAGAGCGAUGAAAGUGUUUGUCGCAUGUUAUCUUUCGCCUAAGCGACGGAACCUUUUGACUUUAGCAACAAAAUAUCUGCACAGAUCAAUCUCGCAAAUCUCUGGCUUAUUGCAUACAAAGUAGUGAAAUUACACCCCUACAUUUAUUCUUUUGUGGGUACUAUCAAAUUUAUUUAUUUAGCAUUAUGACAUUAACAAUCUCGUGUUGCUUAUUAAGAAGUACACCCCUACGUACUUAUUCUUUUUCGAGUACCCACCAAACUUAUUUCUUUAGCAACAUGACAUCAACAAUCUUGUGUUGCUCAACAAUAUCGGAGUAAUUGUAAUUAUUAACUAGUUAGAUAUUUUAGGGAAAGCUAAAAUGAACUAAAAAACAAGCUAAAUUCAACAUUUAGAGAAGACACAUAUAUGUAAAUUAUGGUAUAAAAAUACCUUAAACUUGAACUUUGUUUGUCUUCAAACAAACUAACAUCAAACCAAACUGACACAACAAUAUAAACAACAUUACUUACUCUUUCUAACAAGAUUCUCAAAAAACCACCAUAAGUUAGAGCAUUGAAAUCAAGCUAAGUCUCAAAAUUUCAUGGAUCAUCAAAUAAAACUUUACAAAGAAACACGGAAUGUUACAAAUGUUCACAAACUUAAAUAUAACAUUGUUCACAAUGUUACAAUGUGGCUCUUAAAUGAUCAUCAAUGAAAAAUUUAAGCAUGGAUAAAGUAAAACUAAACAACACAACUAUGAAAACAAAUAACAUAAACACGGAAUGUGGCUCUGGAUGUAGUUUGAUAUAGAGAUGACAUAGUUAAUUUGAUACGGUUAAACAAAUGUGUUGAUAGUCUAAAGCCUUGGAAACGUUAGAGGGGUUUGGUCAAAAAAAUUAAUCUUAAUAAUGUGUUUGGGGGGUGGUGAUGAUGUUCCUGAUGAGUUUUGACAGAAGGCCAUGUUUACUUGUCGAUUUCUUUUGAUCCUUGAAUGCGGAGAGAGAGAGAGAGAGAGAGAGAGAGAGAGAGAGAGAGAGAGAGAGAGAGAGAGAGAGAGAGAGAGAGAGAGAGAGAGAAGAGGAUAAUAUUCAUCUUUUGUGGAGGCAGACAUGGUAGUAAUGGUAGUACUGCGAUUUUUAUAAACAAUUCGAAGGGGAAUAAAUUAAGGAAUAAAUAUUCGAAUGAAAAUAAACUUUUACGAUACAUUGAUGUAUUUAUGUAGAUUACAUCAAUAUUUUGAUUUGUUACAUAGAUUUAGCUCGGAAUAUAGUUUGAUGUUGAGUUAGAAUAGUUAAUUUGAUACAGUUAAACAUAUGAUGUAAAAAAUGGAUUAUCUUAUUCUACUUGGUUUGGAUGACUUGACAUUUUCAAUCCAAUGUCAAUGAGUGUGACGGAAGACCCUUUUUAGAAUAAAAUUUUGUCUUGUUCAUGAUGGUUUCUUUUGGGCCUUUUUUUCUCUCUCAUCUCAUCUCAUCUUAUUUUCUUUUAUAUAUCUUUACACGUCUCCUAUCUUUUUAUUAGUUAGCCUUUUAUCCUUGCAUUAACACGGAAGUAGAAACAUCUAGCAAGUGUGGGUGAUUAAUUUUGGUUUGAUAUUGAUUUUUUUAUAUUUAGAAUAAUCAGCUCAUUACUUAGUUUAUAUAUCCCACUACAAUGUCACUAUUAAACUUUAGUAUAUGUUUUCUAAAAAUUAAUGUUGUUUUACAAGAAUCUGGAUGAACUAUAUACAUAAAGUUUUUACUAUCUUCCUUACUUGCACAUAUCAAACAUUCUCGAUCUUUCUUAAUGAUACUGUCAACCCAUGAAAAUGCAAGUUUUUGAUAGUUAGGUAUGAAAAAUAAAAAUAGCAUCAUAGUUCGGAUGGUGUUUUAUAAUUGAUCCUUAAUGAUAAGAGAGUCACAAACAUUGGAAUCGUUAGUCUAACAACCUCAUAGACAUCAGUCUCCACAAAAAUAGGCAGAAUUCUUAUGUCUUGAGCAAUUGAAGACUAACCUCUAACUCAUCUAAUAAAGCGGAAACAAACAUUCAAUCUAAAACAUGUCCAUGCCACUAUAUGAUCAUCCGAGUCCUCCAAAAAAUCUUUAUCAUCAUUAGCCUCAGCCACUGGUAUACCCCCAGUUUUGAACUUAACCGGAAUCUCAUUAUACUUUAGAUGACUAUAUUUAUACAUCUAUCAAUGUCAACGCAUACGAAUAACGAAUUUCUAAGAACAACUUGAAACCAAAUUUGAAUUUGCUUUGUAGAUUGACAAAAGUUGUUUUCUGAGUUUCUCUUUCCUUGACUAAAAUCUAUUUAUAGUUAUUAAAAUAUUAUUGUUUGUUCUUCUCAAUGAUCAAUUCAAUCAACAACUUGUGUUAGCAAACUUGCAGGUGAUCCUUUCUUCUUCUCUUUUUGGUUAUAUAUUCUACUAAACUUCACAAGUGUAUGUCUACCAACAACUAUAUGGAUCGAGGAAAUAAGAUUGAGUUAUGGAAAAUGCUAGGAAUAGAGGAUUGAAGAGUGAGAGAUUAAAAGUUUUAUAGCUAGACAUGGACGACGAGCACGAGUGAGUUCUUGACAAUGUUGAAUGGUUCUCAUUGGGUAGAUCAACUUUUUUUCAUAGUUCACGUCUGUUAAUCUCCAAAAAAAUUAAAAACACUUACAUUCGUUUUCAAUAAUUAUACGGAAGAUCGGAGUUAUAUCUUAAAAAUUGUCUAUUAUGUUUUCAAGAUUUAAGUUUUCGAACUCGUAUAUAUUAUAUGAGAAAUUUUAAAUACAUACCCCUUGCUUAAUACACCCCUCAUCUAGUUUUUCAUUUCAAAAUUAAACUUAAUACACAUCUCAAACUGCCUAUAAUACCUUUAUAUCUAAAACUAAGAAAUAAUAUGUUAUUUAGUAUAAUUAUUAUAAAUUUACUAUAUAUUUUGGUAACUCUUUUAUGUAUUUUUUUCUAUUUUCUACUAGAAAUUUUUUAUUUACAUCGUCAAAUUUAUAAUCAAAAGACUAUUAUUACACAAACUCCAAAUCUCCGAUGCGACAUCAAUCAUUUGGAAUUCAAAAAAAAUAUCAACCAUUUCAAGUUUUCGAAAUUCACAGGCUAGUAGAAGUACACUAGGUCCCUAGCUAUUAAACAUAUAUACCUACUUUUUUCAAUACAACAUGUCAAAAUGAACAUGUAGUACUUCAAAAUGGUCUGCAAGAUCAAACUAAUACAAAAAAAAGAACUAAUUUCAGUUUACCCCCAUCAACUUUAGGUCGAUCAUCAUGUUAGUCCUUCUUUUUCAAUUUCAUCAAAAACACCCCUUAACUUCCAAUUUUCAUCAGCCGCGCAUGUCCAAACCUCUAAUCUCUAUCCAAUUCCUUUGUCAAGUGAUGACUUGAUAUCAAUAAGAAAGAAAAAAGGAAAAAUAGACAAAUUGCAUUCAAUCCCACUAAAAUCACUAAGGUUAGGGGGUUGUGAUGGGAACGAAGAUGUGUAUCGAUAUGGGGGAAAAAUGGUCUGAAAAGUAACUUUCAGAAUUUGACUUUCUUCUUGAUAUCAAGUCAUCACUUGACAUAGGAAUUGGAUGGAUAUUGGAGGUUUGGACAUGCGCGGCUGAUGAAAAUUAGAAGUUGAGGGGUGUUUUUGAUGAAAUUGAAAGAAGAAUGACUAACAUGAUAAUUGAUCUAAAGUUGAUGGGGGUAAACUGAAAUUAGUCCAAAAAGAAAAAGAAAAAAAGAGACAGAACCCAAAUGAACCGAUGUUAAUUGAAUGAUACAUGUGGUAGCACUCGAAAUUCGGGUCAUGAAUUCUAAAAGUAGUUUUUUUUUGGUUGCGUAUGAAACUAUGAAUUGUGGAGAAGAGUCAAGUUUAGGGAAGAAGUAGUUGUUUCAAUGGUCUUAGGGUAGGAGAUUAGAUUUCUAAUUGUGAUUUCCUUUUCUUUUUUAAUAAUAGAUGUCUGUUUUAGUCAUUAAACAUGCAUAAAAUAUUUGAUGUGAAACAUAAAUUAAUACGAGUGUGUAUUAAGAGAUUAGGGGUGUGUAUUUAAAAGGAGAAAUUAUUGGUCACUCCAUUAGCUUUCAUGCGCUCGACAGUUUACUCCAUUAACUUUCAAUUUCAAUCGAUUACUCCAUUAACUAUCCAAUGUCACACAAUUUGGUCCAUCCGUUAAGUCGCCGUCCAAAUCAGUGGUUAAGUUGCUGACUGGACAUAUUUUUCAACUGAAAAUUCCAUUUAACACCCCACCUNNNNNNNNNNNNNNNNNNNNUAUAAUAGGCUUUGGUUCAUAAACUUUUGUUGGAUUUGAGUGAGUGGAAAGUGAAGCCAAAACCACAGCUUACUUACUGUUUGGGAAGCCAUGGCUGGCCAAAGAGAGAGAGAGAGAGAGGUGGGGUGUUAAAUGGAAUUUCCAGUUGAAAAAUAUGUCCAGUCAGCAACUUAACCACUGAUUUGGACGGCGACUUAACGGAUGGACCAAAUUGUGUGACAUUGGAUAGUUAAUGGAGUAAUCGAUUGAAAUUGAAAGUUAAUGGAGUAAACUGUCGAGUGCAUGAAAGUUAAUGGAGUGACCAGUAAUUAAUUCUAUUUAAAAUUACUUGUAUUAUAUUGAUCUUGGUUUCAUAAUACAGAAAACAGUUUUGUAAUCAUGUAUCGAACAUGCCCUAAAUAAUAGGAAACAUCUUUGAUUUUCUUCUUUGAACAAGUUGCCUACACAUAUUAGACAUAGAAUCUAAGGUGUGGAAUGUUUGAGCCUCUGUCAUAUCUUUCUUAUAUGAUGCAGUGCAAAGGGGUUAACUCAUUUGGAAUUUCAAGGAGUCCAUAUUUAAGUUUAAUUAAUAUUAUUAUUUCAAAAUAUGUCUAUUUACUAAACUUGUUGAAUGAGUAUGAUUUAAUGUGGGAUUGGAAAGUGGGUAUUCUAGAAUGUAUUAGAAGAAAAGGGGGAUUAUGCAUUGUAUUAGUAUUUACUAGAGGGUUGAGUUAGCUCUUUAAAAGGGACAUCCAUGUAUGAGAAAUAUAGACUUUGUUUAUGAAUAUUUCUAUUAAGAAAAAUAGAGCUUUACUCUUUUUAUCAAUCUCAUUUCUUUAUAUGUGUCGUUGUUCUAGUUAUCAUCCUCUACUGAUCCGUUCCCGCAUCAUUUGGUACUAGAGCCACGCUACGCUCUUUGGGUUGCUUCCACUAAUCUCAUGGCGGUAAGAAGAGGUGGAGGAAAGCGUGGAAACCAUAUGAAAGAUGAGAAAUCAAUAGGUGAAGAACUUCAUGCACUUCGAAGAAAAGUUGAGAGAAUUGCCUUGCUAAUUGAAUGCCUAGAAGCUCGUAAGAAGCAUGGUGGAUCAAGAAGCGGGUAUCCUUAUCAUGAGACCAAGACAGAGAUACGAUCAAAUCAUCGACGUCGUCCAUCUCAAAGGUCUAAGAAUCACUUGUGGAAGGUUGGAUCAUCAAGAUUUCAAGAAUGGCUUGAAGUUGCAAGAGGCACUUAUGCAAAGGAAUGCGAGGUUGAAGAUGUUGAAGAUCUUGAGAUGGAGGUCAAAGAAUUCAAUAGGGAUUCAAAUAUGAAGGUAUGUCAUUUGUUUCCUUUUGAGUUAGAGAUUGAGCAUGGAGAUAAUAUUGAAGUAGAUUGAAAUUCACCACCCAUCUAUGAUGCAUAUCUUGAUGUUGAAUCUUUUGACCCAACAAAAGAAAAUAUUGAUGAAUCUCUUCAUGACAACAAUUUUGGUGAUACAUGCCUAAUUGGAGACCAAGAGUUUGAGUUUUCGAAAGAAGUACUUGCAUGCUCAGAUGAAUUACUUGAACCUAGUGAUUUGGAUGACAAAGUUUUAUUUAAUGAACAAGGUAAGAGUCAUGGUGCAUUUUUGGUUUAUGAAAAUGGUGGUGUAGAUUUGGAAACUAAAGUUGGGUUUUCACAUGCCUCACAAUGCUCCAUUAGAUUUGAAUUUCACUACCAUGAUCCUUUUUGGGAUGAUUUCAUGAAAGCUUAGAUCAAUACCAAGUCAAGAACAAAGAAUGAGUUAUUGCAAGUGUUGGAGCUUAAUGCAUGUAAUAUUUGUGCAUCAGAAAAACUUCUUCAAAGGAUUGAGUUGUGCGCCUCUUUUGUCGAGAUGCUACUUGUCAGCAUCACGAAGGAAACAAAGAGAAGCAAGAAGAUAGGGUGGUGACAUUAUGAACUUUUUGAUGAAUUUGAUUUCAAGCAUGCGAACUUAUGGACUAGUUCUUUCUCACCCCAGGGAGAAUGAUGCAAUGCAAAAGGGGGAUUAACUCAUUUGGAAUUUCAAGGAGUCCAUAUUUAACUUUAAUUAAUAGUUAUUAUUUCAAAAUAUGUCUAUUUAGUAGACUUGUUGAAUGAGUAUGAUUUAAUGUGUGAUUGGGAAGUGGGUAUUCUAGAAUGUAUUAGAAGAAAAUGGGGAUUAUGCAUUGUAUUAACAUUUAUUAGAGGGUUGGGUUAGCUCUUUAAAAGGAACAUCCAUGUAUGAGAAAGAUAGACUUUGUUUAUGAAUAUUUCUAUUAAGAAAAAUAGAGCUUUGCUCUCUUUAUCAAUCUCAUUUCUUUAGAUGUGUCUAUCUUGUUCUAGUUAUCAACCUCUACCGAUCCGUUCUCGCAUCAUUAUAAUAUGCAGACUCCAAUUAUAAAGUAAGAAGUUCAUCUUGCAUAAAAUCUUGAGAAUAAAAGCUCUUAGUAUGAGGUGGUGCAACUCGUUGGAGCUAUCUCAGAUCACGAGACCAUUAAACAUUGGGUAUAGAUAUAAUUAAUGACUACACGUGUGUUAUAUGAAGGUUGCAGAGAAUCAAAUGCAUGUGGCAAGGUUCUUUCGUGCAACCAAUAAAACCAAUGAGUAUUGCAACCCCAUUAUUAUGGCUGCUUUCAAACCUUUGAUUAUUAUUUACCUAUUAUUGAAGAUGUUUGACCCAUUAUACAAGUGUUUAUCCCGAACGUACCUUUCCAUUUGUUUGGGAUCCAAUUUAAUCAUCUUUUAGACACCGUUUAAUCUGGUUAUUCUAGAUACCGUUUAAUCUUUUAUUCUGGACAUUGGUAACUUCCCGGGGUUGUUGGUGUUCACCUUAGUCACCGGAGUUUUGUCUUUCUUUUUUGUUGAACUCGUGUUUUCUGCAAUUUGUUCUUCGGCUUUCUCUUCGCUUCCAGUUCGGUUUAGGGUUUAAGGAUCUUCUGUUUUUUUUUUAAAUUCCAAUUCGUACUCCUGUGUUUAGUUCCAUUUUGUUCUCUUCCUUAGUUCUUUAGUUAUUUGGUUUUCUAUUCAAUUGCUUUUGUUUGCUUCACUAUUGUAAACCUUGGGUCAGGCCUUUGUUAUGGCUAUGUUAUAUUCCUAGGUCUUGAGCCUUCUUUAAUGAAGUGGUUGUUUGACCCAAAAACAUCUAAAAACACAAGAUCGACCAAUAUUGUAGUAGAUCCAUUUGUAUUAUUGUAUACAUCAAUAAUGUUAGUACCGUAACAGUACAACAUCUAUAAACAACUUAUCAUCAUAUCAUCAUAUGACAAUUUUUUUCCAGUUCUUAUAUUUUAUUUGUAUUAUUGUAUAAAUCACAUGGAUUUAAUAACUUCAUGUUGGAUAGUACUACAAUAGCUUUAUCACUAUGAAUCCAAGUACUCGGGUUUCAAUAAUCAAUUGACUAGAAAAAAAAAACUCAUUUAAUAUAAAGCGAACACAAACUUUCAAAUCUCCAACAAACUUUCAAAUCUCCAGCAAACUUCAUAAGCACCCUCCUAUCUAAUUAGAUUCUAAAAGUUUUGAUUUUGAUUUUUAGGCAGUCACUUGGGAAAGUGGGGACUGAGGAGACGGGCUAAGGGCGACAAGCUCCGGGCCUCCGACCGACGGGCAACAGCUGCACGGUGCAAGCGACAGGGGAAGUAAGGAUUGAGAUUGAAGAGGAAGGUGUGAGAUUGAAGAGGAAGAAUUACGGAACUAGGGACCUAGCUAGGAUAGACUGAUGUGUUUUAAAAUGUUACUCGCAAGCGCACGAAUCAGUUGCAGCACAAAUAUGCAAGAGCGAGAUUGAACCCACAGGGAAUGUAUGAAAAUAGGAAAAACUAAUCGAAUCCAAAUUAAUUUAACACCAACGUAGUUGAAUGAAAGUUGAUGGUGAAGUAGCUAAAACAAAUAAAAUAGAUAAAAGUUACAUUGAUGACGAAGUAACUAAGGCAUCGGAUUUCACCACAUUACUCAAUAAGAUAUAUUACUUACCAAUUCCCGAAUUAUGAGUAGCAAUCUAGAAAUCAAUAUAUUGCUUUAUCAAGAUUUAACAAUGAAACACAUAUGAAAUUUAUCUAAAGUAGACUCUUCUUCGCUUCUUAAUUAUGAACACCAAAGCAUCACAUGUACACAAAUUUAUUGAAACUACAAAAGAUCAAAGUGUUUACAAAGCAUCAAAUGUGAAACAAGCCCAUUUGAAUGACAAUAGACCAAAGGAUUUCAUUUUAAAUAUUUUACAAAGCGAAGCAUGGAUUAAUAAAAGUGAUUUCCAAACUACCAAAAAUGCAUGACAUUAAAGGUGAAAGGAACAAAAAUCUUAUUAAUGCAUUUUGAAGCAAGAGUCAUAGACAUGAAUAACAUAAUUAUGGGAAUCGACAGAUAAUUAAGAGAAACUUAUUUUAUAAUGUGGUUUCCUCCUUAACUUUAGUUAAGGAAAUUAGCAACACAUAGUACAAAUUGAAAACAUGUUUAAAACAAUACAAAACAUCAUAGGAAAAAUAGCUAAAGAAAGGGAAGAACAAAAGCAACAAUAUGUCUCUCAAUCUCCACUCUCUCCCCCCUCUCCUUAUUCUCUUGAAAACAAGCUCUAUUUAUAGAGCAACAUUGAGCUUCAUUACAACUUCAUCUCCAUGUGAAAAUAACUUUCCUUCUUCAAACUUCUCAUGCUUGAUGACAACAUAUUUCUUCACCCAUAAAUGUUUUCAUACAUCACUUUCUCUUCAUCUACAACAUCAUUUGCUUCUCUCAUUUUUCAUGUACAAGAGUACGUAGACAAACUUUGAAGAAUUAGAAGUGAGCUCCUAGAUUCAUACAAGUUUGUUCCAUGCAAUCUUGUCUUUGGAAAUUUUUCAUGCACUUUUCCAUUUGUAUCAAUGCAUAUCUACGUACCUAUGAAUCAAAUGAGUAAAGUGAAUUCAACAAUUGAAAGCUAAGGUAUAUAUUUUCAAUACAACACACAUAAUGCAAUGGGAAAGCAUUCCACCAAUAGGCACAUGCUAUUAGAACAAUGAAAACAUAUGUUACACUUAGUUAUUUAAUUAAAGGGAAAAAAGACUCAUGUUUAAAACAAUGACUCAAUUUACUAUAAAAAUAGAUAAAUUGCUUCAUAACUUUAACAUUUCAUUUAUUUAGACAUAACAUCUAUAAGAACACAAAAACAAACUAAAUAACUCAAACUAAUUAAAACAAGUAACUAACAUAUAUAAAUCAGGGAUAAUAAUAUGAUAUAAAAUGUGCUCAUCAUAGACGACUAGACGGGGAAGUAGGAUGCAACCUUAACAUGGAACGACAUCAUUUACAUAUAUAUAUAUAUAGACACACACACACACACAGAGGAAGGAUUGAGAGCGAACGUCCGCGCUUUAAAAUGCAGACAAUCCACUUGUGAGCACUUUAUUGGUUGGUACAAUCGUUCAACAAGUCGACCUAAUUUCAGCUAUAUACGUGGGUCCCAUCGACAACAUCUUCUCUAAUUUCCCUUCAAGUGUUAACUAUCACCACAAUCUCCCACCGCAGUUUCAUCACCAUACUUCUACUUGGAUUGACUAUGAUUUCUAUGAAUCAAUCCAAAAGAAACAAAAAUGAAAGCUUCACAUCAUUAAUUGAUCGCUUUACAUCAUUGAUCAACUGUUAGAGCUUUUCAUUGAUUUAUAAUCUCAAACCCACAACAGAAACCCAGAUGCUAGAUCCAACCAGGUAACCAUGAAUUAAUGCAAACUAUCAAAUAAAAAAAUCAUAUUUUCAAUACAUCAGUGCCAAACAAAACAUCUAGUGCAAGUCAUCCUCUUCGUCCCAUCUCAAUCUUCUGCCAAUCUACCUUAUCAUCUACGUGGCUUUCAUUUACCCUAGCUAGCCAUGGCUUUGCCGGAGUUGGACGACGAUGGGUCACUGAAUCUGCCCAAUAAAAUUAAAAAGAUACCCAACAAACUAGAAAUAAGAAGAGCAAAAACAUGUCGAUUGAAUGAAGAGUUUGGAUUUGGAGGCAGAAAAUGAAACGGGUCGGAGAAUGAUCCUAACCCAUCUUGUUAUAAUAGUUAGUUCCUAAUGAGCAUAUAGACAAGUUAAUAUUGUGGCUUUGAUUCUGGUUUUGUCAAUUGAAUGUUUUCUGGCAGAACGAUUGAUUAGGGAAGUAGCGAAGGAUUUUGGGUAUGCAGCUUUUGAAGAGAAAACACAAAGGCCAGAAGAUUAGAGAAGAUGAUGUCGGUGGGACCUGCGUAUAUAGCUGAGAUUAGGUCGACUUGUUGAACGAUUGUACCAACCAAUAGAGUACUCACACGUGGAUUGUCCGCAUUUUAACAAAAGCACGAACGUUCACUCUCAAUCCUUGUAUAUAUAUAUGAUGUGAUGUAGUUUUUUUUUUUUUUUUUUAGGCUUCAAAUUCUCACCUUGGCUCUAGUCCGGUCAAACCUAAAGCUGACUUCACCUCUAGACGUGGAUAUCAGGCUUCGCCGCCUGAGCAUAAGAAGAAAGCAAUAGUAUUUGGUUUUGUUUUAUUCAAGAAAAAGAACAACACUUUCUCUAGCUGAAAUGUAGUAUAUGCAAAAUUUCAACCGCUAUUUCCUAAUAUAAUCUGCUACACAUAGCCACAAAGUAUUACUUGAUUGAGUAGCUCAUGUCAUAAGCUUACACAAGCAAGACAUACACGCUUGAGAAAUAUUAGAGAAGAAAUUUGUUCAAGUAACAAAAUGGAUUUCAUGUUUUUUUUUUUUAAAUGUAAAUCGUUAUAUGUACAAAAUGAAGUAAAUGACUAUAUAGAAUGGCUCACCUGCUUCUCAUGCCCUACAUAUGUACAAAAUGAACUUCAGCUUUGGAAUGAAAUUUACCCCACCCCAAGGAGAGUGAAACGAAAACAGAUCUGAGAGUUUUGUCUCCUCCCCUUUCUCUCUUGCCCAGAUCUAGAUCUAUCUGGGUCUCGAUCGAAGGCUGAGAGUUGGGGGUGGAUCUUACAUCUCCUUCUUCUAGCUUCCUUAGUAAUCUUCUCACCCUUUUGUAGUAUUAUUUUACCCGUUUUGUGGUGAUUUUCUGGUUGAUGUCUAGAUCGGGAGGAUUUUGUUCCUCAAAUUGUCUUUUCAGUUUUUCUCAUUGUCAUCCAAUCUCAUAUGCUUCAAGAUCUAAGAUUACUCAACCCCUCAAUAGAUCAACUCUCUCUACUCAUUACCUCUAAGAAGAUGUCUAUGGUUGCAAGUAUAAAGUGCAAGUCACUUACCCACGCGAUUAUGGGUGCUCACGCAUGGGUUUUACACCCCCCCAUUCUCCAUCGGUCUCGUUCUUGUUCUCGUUCUAUGUUAUGGUUCUUGGUUACAACUUGGUAGCCAUGUUUCUUUCUUGAGAAGUGUUGUUAUGGUGGAAGGAUUGGUGUUGUUUUGUGGGAUCUCCUCUCUUUGGAGGCUGAGUGUUUUAUGGUCUGUGGUUUAGGAUUUGGCUGGCAACGGAACAUCAACUUGCUCAUCCAUGCAUGUCGUUCUGCCUCCGGUGGUUGAUCAAUGGCUUUAUAGAUCGGUAGCGACUGCGACGGCGACGGCGACGGCGACGGAAGAGGCAGCAGCUAGGGUUUGCUUGGGUGGCCGCUGGUUUAGCUUUGAUGUGUUUUGUGUAAUUUUAUUUUUAUCUUUAGGGUUACCAUUUUUACCUUUUCAUGUGGAUUGGGUUGAGUGGUAACUUCCCUAAUGUUUAUCUGUACUUGGGCCUUAUUUGGGCUCUUCCAUUGGACUUUCCCCUUUGGUAAUCAUUAAUAAAACUUUUCAUUAAUUCCAAAAAAAAAAUGUACAAAUUUAAGUAGAUGUAGUGGCUUGCAUGCUUCUCAUACCUUAAAGGUCACAUUCGAUUUGUAACAGGUCGCGAAUUUACAAUGGAUUUCACUCGGAGCAAUUAUAAUUAUGAAAAAUUGUAACAAUUUUCUUUUUUAGAAUGAAUUAAAAGCAACUUAAAAGGAAAAAAAUGGUGGAAUAAAUGUAAAAAGGUGACAUGAUGUCAUAUUGUAAGGCUUG
This 44863-nucleotide long non-coding RNA is filed under the name Fragaria vesca (wild strawberry). Its description in RNAcentral is "long non-coding RNA (FVES_LNC002821)". The record is from RNAcentral. Lineage: Eukaryota; Viridiplantae; Streptophyta; Magnoliopsida; Rosales; Rosaceae.